This 71403-nucleotide long non-coding RNA is filed under the name Setaria italica (foxtail millet). RNAcentral describes it as "long non-coding RNA (SITA_LNC003610)". The record is from RNAcentral. Lineage: Eukaryota; Viridiplantae; Streptophyta; Magnoliopsida; Poales; Poaceae.
AUCAGAUGCCGUUGCCCAUGCCUCCUUCACCAUCACAGCCUCCGGCUCUCCCCUGAAAUGGUUUCAGUUGCAAGCUCUCUGUCUCAAGUCUCAGCUCAUCAGCCCCACCACCCGGCUCUCUAUCUAGCUGCGCAGUUAUAAAUACGCUGCGACGUCGCUCACAUUCCUCCCUGCAAAUCGCAACACCCAAGCCACUGAGCGAGCUAGACACACACAAACCCAAUCCAGAGCUAGCCAAGAAGCAGGGAAGCUAGAGACGAUCCAUCGCGCGCUGCCAUGGCUCCGUCGUCGCAACGCACGGCCGCGGCCGCCUUCUUUGUCGUCCUCCUCGUCCUGGCGUCGCCGUCUCUGCUGCAACUGCAAGCAGCCAGGACGACGCCGAGUGACGACGGACAGGGACAGCAGCAGCAAGUGCUCGCCGCGACGGCGACGACGAUGAGCAGCAGCAGCUCCACUACGCCAGCGGCCGGGCCUGCGUCGGCAUCAUCGGCCUUGCAAGAGAGGCCCGCGAUUGCGCUUCUGCCGCCGCCGCCGCCGCCGGCCACCACCAUUGCGGCAGCUGGCCGCAGCCGGCUGCUCGGCUCCGUGCCCAGCCCCGGCGUCGGCCACUAGCUCCGCUCCAGAGUCCAGACACCGCCUCUUCGCAGUAGCGUGAUACUACUGACCAUGAGUCUUACUACUAAUUCCUAGUUCCAAUUUCAGCAUGAGAGUUGAGACAUCUCCACAUGCUACGACGCAUACAUGUGGAUCAGAGUUUCAGGCAAAGAUCAGUUCUAUAUAUGUUAAUAUACAUAUAAGUUAAACUGGAAAAUCUUUUUUCUUUAUCUUCGAUUUUAGUUUUCAUUACGUCGCUGUCUGCUGGAUGGUUCUGAUGUGUUUGAAUGGAAUGUUGCUAAAAAUUACAUCAAAUUCUUUGACGUUUCACGUGGGCUCCCUAUUGAGUUACAUCGACCGAAAAGGGACCUGAUUGGACGCCGGCCAAAGCAAUCCGUCGUCUCCUUGCUCGGGUUCCCUUCUCGCGGUUGCUUGCCUGGCAUCAACACCUGUUGCGUGCAUUGGCGCAUUGCUGCCGAUGGGCGAUAGAUCCAGCGGCAAUGGCAAAGCUGAUGCUUCUUCCGAUCCAUUUGCUCCGGCGACAUAUGGAGUGCUGAAAACUAAAGCCAUUCAUUCCCUUUUUAAAAUGCUGCAAAGUCAACGCACUUACAUUCCAAAUAAAACGCUUGAGUUUCACACCAUACAUCACUUCAAUCUCUCUGAAAGAUAUAUAGAUAGGACGUAGUGGUCCUAUAGACGAGUUAUUUGAUUUGAUUUGAGCUUAAUUUUGAUGUCUCAAAAAACCAAGUGUUUUAUAGCCUUCUAAGGGCCUGUUUGGCAACCAAGUGUUAAAAUUUAACACCUGUCACAUCGGAUGUUUGGAUGCUAAUUAGGAGUAUUAAAUAUAGGCUAAUUACAAAACUAAUUGCACAGAUGAAGUGUAAUUCACGAGACGAAUCUAUUAAGCCUAAUUAGUCCAUGAUUUGACAAUGUGGUGCUACAGUAACCAAUUGCUAAUGAUGGAUUAAUUAGGCUUAAUAGAUUCGUCUCGCGGAUUAGCACAGGGUUCUGCAAUUAGUUUUAUAAUUAGCUCAUAUUUAGUUCUCCUAAUUAGCAUCCGAACAUCCGAUGUGACACUGUUAAAGUUUAACACCUCGUAUCCAAACACCCCCUAACAUUUUUUUGUCUAUAUUGGGUUUGCAGACAUUUUUUUUGGGUGCGAUAUUUAUAUGAUGGACGAUUCCAGUAGUACUUGAUUUUUUUUUGUCAGUUAAAAUUUAAAUUUAAUCGAAAACCAAGCGUUGAAAGCUUUCUACAAUGCUUAUGUGUUGUAUAGUCACUGUUUCUGAUAAUAACAUGACCGAGUAGGGUUAGAUGUGUUCAAAUAGUGCCUUGUUAAUUGCUUAUACAAAUAAGGGCCCAUUUGUAAUGCGAAUGAUGUUUAACAAUAACGAAUCCCUUUUCCUAAAUUAAUUGGCCUAUGAUUUACCGAAAGUUCAAAAAGUUAUAUUGCUAAAAAGAGAAAAUUCAACAGUUGUGUUAGGAGUAUGUAAUAAUUAUUGCAUGAAACUGUCACCAUCUCAGGGAUGAUGAUGCUAUAGCUAGUUCCCUCUUUGUGCGUUCAUAUAAAUGCACACUUGGUCAACCAGCUCAACACCUGGAAAUCUUAUCCUAUUAUUCUGCUUCAACGCUUUGCAAAAAGGGGGGGAAAAAAGAACGCUUGAUACAAACAAAUCAAAGAGCUAGCAUCAAUAAUUGGCACAUUUGGCAACAUUAGAAAUUAUCUAGGUGUCAAAAAACGGACAAAAUAUAUGCAGGGCACAUCACCAUCAUAUUAGCCAAUAGCAACGGUAGGUUGCAGUGAAAAGCGUCUAUCUAGUGUGUAGAAGUAGAACCGUCACAUCCCAAACUUUCUGCACGGAAAUGUCCAAUCCUUAAUGGAUAAACAUGGCAAGAAUGCAGCAUGACUUCUUUUGCAAAUGCCGGGGCUAAGUGAGUGUAAGUGGGAGUUUCAUGAGCAUUAAUUUUCAUGUCAUAUCAUCAAUUUUGCUGAUUUGGCAAGAUAUUUAUGAAGAGAGAUAAAGAAAAGUGUCAUCCUAUGUGAGAGAAGUUUCAUCCACAUGACACUCAACAGAUACAAUUACCUAGUUUCCACUUUUGGUAACUGUGCAUCGAGACUGGCAGAGAUGUCCAUGUCGAGUUGACACACAAUUCGUGGCAAUCCCAUCGAGAGCCAUUCAAUGUGGUCACUGUGCACUUUUGAGAUUUAAGCCACUGUACCAGAUAAUUAGCACGGAUCAACCGCUGUCUUAAUUAACUGUGACAGCAACAGUGACGGCCACACAGGAUUUCAGGGAACUGGAAGGUCCGUCUGGGCCAUACUCGGCCAUUUUUCCUUGAACGAUCCCCCAUGUGUUACUGACGAGAUCUCCGGAACGGAGAGUGGUAUGCCCACCCACACGUCCAGCAGAUAUUUCCAGGCUACUCUUGCACUUUUCUCCCUUUUAAGUUGUGCUGCAUAUCAUGGAUGAUCAUCAGUUCAGUUGCUAUCGCCGAAGAAAGGCAAGAAAGGGCUUUCGAGUCCGCGCGAGCACUGACCAUCUCUCGGAGUUUCAACUCUCAAAAGUGCAUCGCGAUCGCGUCGUCGUUUUCCUCUGGAACGAAAUUCAUCGAGAUCAAAAGCUUCAGUUCAUUCCUGGUGCGGCGGCGGCAAAUCGUUUUUCCACACGUGGAGGUCAGGUACGGACGCCAUGUCGCCUCGCGACAGCCGACGGCACCGAUGCCGUGGUUUCCUACGCGCUGGCUGACCGACUCUUUACAGCAAGUAGAUCGGCCAGCCCAAAAAAGCCUAGCUCGAUCAUCACCCUGACCCUGAGUGGCGGGUCGGCGCAGGUCAUCUUCAACCUUCUUCCUUUCUAAGGAGAGGAGACCCUUGAAACAACUCCUUACCCGAAGAACCGUACCCCGAUGAUAACAACCACCAAGGGCGCGAUAAGAUUAGGUUUGGAUGCAUAAGGACGUCGGAGUGAGUGACUGACGGUGUGAGGGUUCUUUUGGCUCCUAGCAUGGUGACCUACCAUGUAAGUUGCAAUGCGAACAACAAUCAUACAAGGCCAGGGCUGUGGACGAACAGAACUCGCUUGUCCAGUCAAGUUAAAGCUGAAACGAAAUAUCGUGCUGCAUUUCCAAUCCUCAUCAAGAAUCGCCAACUGAUGAAACUCCAUCCACGUUUUUGCCACACGGUGUUGUAAAAAAGCAUGCACGUUGAUUGGAACUUGCCAAUAACAUAUCGAAAGGUUUCACGUCAGCGCGUGUAAGUAGUCCCGAGUUUUCGUGCUGGACCAGAGCAAAGGUUCGUUUGACAUGAGCCAAACCCACUGUGCAUCUCACUUUGGAAAGUGAAAAGGUGCCAUAACGCGUGGUAACCACGGCCACCGGAGGAGUGUCAGCUACUGUUCCUUGAACAUGCAUGGCAAUGAGUGCUACACCUCUACACCACACUAUAGAGGAUUGACCACAGGUCCACAACUAGCUAUUCUUCUUCAGGAAUUGCAUUUCAUCAUUGGUGACAAGAUGACAAUGGAUCGACAUGCAACCCCCCCCCCCCCCCCUUUUUUCCUUUUGAGCGAGAAUAGGUAAAUGUGCACCAGGAAUCGCCUAGCCUGCACGCGCACCAUACACUCCAAUCCCUCUGUUCUAAAAUAGUAAUGUUUUAAUUUUGCCAUAAGUUAAACUUUUCCAACUUACAUUUGUAAUACAGUAUCAAGAUAUAUAAAUUUGAAGGUAGAUCUUUAAUAAACAAAUUCGAUAUUGUAGGUAUUGUCCUAUUUUUUCUAUUAACUUACAAGAUAAUAUUGAUAUAAGACAACUAAAAUACCUUAGAAUGGAUGGGUUACUUUCUUUUUCCUUAUGGUAUUUUUCACCUCAACUUUUUAGAUCAUUUUCCGCACGAAUCAUUUAGGACGUCUUUAAUGGUAUGAGCUAUACUACCACUAAGUCAGCAAAUGUGGGGGAGUAGGCACCCUUGAAUAGGUGCUAUGAUAGUGAAGUGCAUUGGAAAACAUUCGAAAUGGUCUUUUAACUACACGCUAGUCUAUGCUUUUCUCACUGUUCUAAAAUAUUUAUGUUUUAAUUUUAUCAUAUGUCAAACUUCUCCAACUUUUACAUCUACUAAUAUCAGAUAAAUGCAGUGCCAAGAUAAAUUUGAAGGUGAAUUUGAAUAAACAAAUCUGAUGCUGUAGGUGUUGUUUUAUUUUCUGUUAACUUGCUAGAUAAUAGUGAUAUAGGAUAAAACUAAAACACCUUAAAUGUUAGAACGGACACUUUCUGGUAUUUUCACCUCUAUUUUUUAGAUCAUCUUCCACACGAGCCAAUUAAGCUCGCCUUAGUAGAAGUGGGCAGCGGCACUGGGUGGACGGUGUAUCCGCCCUUAACUGAGGAGGUGUUUGGGAGAUAGUGGCUAAACUUUAACCCUGUCACAUCGAAUAUUUGGAUGCUAAUUAGAAGGACUAAAUAUAAGCUAAUUACAAAACUAAUAGCAGAACCCCUAGGCUAAAUUGCGAGACGAAUCUAUUAAGCCUAAUUAAUCCAUCAUUAGCGAGUGUUUACUGUAGCACCACAUUGUCAAAUCAUGAACUAAUUAAGUUUAAUAGAUUUGUCUCGCGAUUUAGCCUAGGGUUGUGCAAUUAGUUUUGUAAUUAGCCUAUGUUUAAUACUUCUAAUUAGUGUCCAAACAUCCGAUAUAGUUUAGCCCCUGUCUCCCAAACACCCCCUGAAAUAACAAGCUAUUCUAGAGGAGCAGUUGAUUUAGCAAUUCUUAGUCUUCAUCUACCAGGUGUUUCAUCAAUUUUAGGUUCCAUCAAUUUUGUAACUACUUCUAUCUUUACUUUUAUUAAAAAUGCACGAGCCAUUUACUAGCAUGCAGGAGAAAUCUUAUUUCUCUUCUGUUUGUUUUUUCUAUAACAAAAUACUUCUGACUUGCGACAGACCGACAGAUUGCCUACUGCUGGCCCAGAAAAUAUGGGCCCAGCCCAUCCUAUUCCUGGGCCGAUAUACGAAAAUAAGGCUGGUUUGUAUUCGUGUUAGUUUUUGACAAAAGUUUGCAGCUUUUUUUUCACUUUAGUCCAACAUAAAUCAACGUCGAAGAAGAAAUACAAAAACAGAGAAGAUAGAAGAGCCGAUUUUGAUCUACAAACACACUGAUACCACGCAUUUACAUGAUCGAUCGUAUAUAAGUAGUAGUAAGUACAGAGCUUCAACGUUAAUCUGUAUCAUCUAUAGUAAAUCAAAGAUAAACAUGUGUGUGUGUGUGUGUGUGUGUGUGUGUGUGUGUGCGUGUGUGUGUGUGUGUGCAAAAGUAUGGAGAUAUAUACUCGUGACGAUCAGCUGAUAGCAGAAGCACAAACGAUCAACGCAUGCCCGGUGCGAACUCCGAUCCUGGGAAGCACCCGCCGCGCGCUACACGUGGCCCCUGAUGCUCGGGCCGGAUGGCGGCAGCGGCACCACCUGCCGGGGCUUCGCCGCCACGCGGUCCGUCGCCGGCGCACCGUGGCUCGUGGACAUCGAUUCCGGCGCCGCCGGCGACAAAGCGGCACGGCCGCCUGGCGCCAUGAGGAGGACAGCCGAGCGGCGGUGGCCACCGCCGCUCCACGGCCAUGGCGCAACCCUUGCCGCGGACGACGGCGACGCAAGCGCUAGCGCUACAAAGAUGAACCCCAGCGACAUGAUCGUCAUCUUCAACUUGAAAAGCCGCCGAGAAGCUGAAGGUGGAGGAGCCAUGGCUCUGGGCCUCUGGUCGAUCGAUGGCUCGGCCUUCAGAUUGGUAUGUGUGUGCACGUAUGUGCUGUUGGUGGAGGAGCCAUGUGAGCUGGAAUCUAUUUGAUUUGAUUAGAUUUGCUGAUAAAGAAGGUUUGGUACGUGCUAGCACCGAGUCUCUAUCUCUAUAUCUCUUCAUGGACUCUUGACAGGUUUGUGUAGGCAUCGCAUGCGUUGUUAGGAUGGUAGGGGGCGCAUGGUUACGCAUGUCAGUGACAUCUGAUAGGAAUCUGGGUUUCAGAAUAGGCUAGGGCUUUUCAGAUAGCGAGGGUGAGAGGCGUCACAACUCUAGACGACGUAGACCAAGCAAACUGCCGCCCAACUGCAAUAUUUCUUGAAUGAUGGUGACGUAGAAACAUGAGAAACGCUAUUUAUCUGUUCGAACAAAUUUGUUGACAAAAAAUCUGCCAGAUUUGCAAUGUUCUAGGGUAAUGUAAACAAUAUUUGCCGGUGAAAUAAAAUAUUCUAGGUAGAGCAUUUAAAUUUCUUAAAAAAACAGAGGUGACAGGCUUUAGAUUUGCAAUGUUCCAGUCUAAGAAGAAAAAAAUCCAAGUAGCAAAUAAAAUAUUUUAACUCUAUUUCCCUUAUUCUGUAAUAGACGGAUGAAUAUAAUUACAUUGUUGCAUCUGACGGAGAUUUCACUCAUGAAAUCUGUCAAAAGAUAAUUAGAUAGUCCCUAGAAAUAAACUAUACAAUUGCGAUGCAAUAGUAUGCCUAAACUUUUGGAGUUCAUUUGUCAAUAUGAGUGUUCAUUUUCUAGACUUAUAUUUAAGUCGUUAACUACUAAAAUGAUGAAUGUAUUAAAUCAUGAAAAUCCAAAAAAGUACAGAUGUUAAGGCAGCCUCGGGUAAGACAACUAUACUAGUAUCACUUUUUUGGGUAAAUUAUUUGUAGUACCUUUUACUGUAAAAUAAGUUAAAAAUCAUAAUAUAACAACAACAGUAGUUUCAAGCCAUACAAUUUCCAUAUGUCAAACAAGAAUGUUCACAACCAUGGUCAUGGUUAAAAAGUUGAAAAGAUCCAUUGCACACACACCAACAUAGAACUUAUCUUUGAUUAUGGCGCAGGUUGUUGCUAUUCUUUGAAGCAUCCAUAAUUUUAAUCCCACAAACUUCUACGGUAAAGAAAACAACCCUUCAUUGGAAUAUAAUAAAACGGAGAGGUUAAUGUAAGCGAUGAGAGAAUGAAGUGGAUCGCAACAACUGAACUGCAUUGAUCUUGCCUUGGUGUACAUGUACAUGUACACAGCUGAACGAGUCAGUAACUAACCGAUAAGCUAACUAACCUAGCUACUUACACGGAGAACCACGGGACGUGAUUUACGGGAGCCUAUACAUCGCUAACAGUUAAUUGCACUCGAAAAUCAAGCCCAUGAUUUUAUCUUCCUUUCUUUUUGUGUCACUGUAUGUUCUCAAUCAGAUGUCACACUCACUCUAGCUAUCCGGGUCCAUGACUCGAUGGUUCAUCACCGGCCGAAGGAAGACAUGUAUGGAGCAAGCAUAUCUGCUGAACCUAUAGGUUUGCAUGUCCACGUGACAUGUUGGCAUUUCCUGUCGGCCUGUCGUCAGUAAUGGCUGCUAGCUCUACCCAACACGUGCGUGCUUGGACCGUUGGACGACCACCCAUCGUUUGGUACGAAGAAUUCCUGCUUAUGAUGACACGGCUGGUUAUAUGCAGCUUAUCAACUUAGCUUGAUUUGCAGUGAUGACAGAUGAAACGAGCAAUGUAAUGCAUGGAUUAACUGUUUUGUAUAUUCUACAUUGAUGAUGCGAACAGAGAGAAUUUGGGUCAGAACAAAUAAGCCAGAGGAUAGAUGCCUUCGAAGCAUUAGCCCAUGGGCUAAGUGAAUGAUCAGUAGUUAUAAAAACAUUGUUGGGAUUCAGGCAUUCAGCAGUAGACAAAACAGGAAGAGGAUACGCUGCCUGCGCAAUCUCUUCUUCCUCUUCUUCAGCCUUCUCUGUUCCAAAGGCGUAGCCAGAAACUCAAUUUUUUCGUUGCUAGGGGGACCAGCAGUGGUAAUUUUUUCAAAAUUUGAUAGAAUUCUUUUUUUUUUGGAAAAUUGGAAGCCAUAGCCCCCCCUCCUCGAGGCACAACAGCAAAACUGGAACGGUAAAAGCAGAGGAAGACGACAGACGCGAAGGCGUAACCGGACUGUCCUUUUUUGAGGCACAACUGCGGGCAACGCGUUGCCGGGCACAAGCGGCGAGCGCCCGUUGCUCGUCUGUUUCUUCGCCAUCGCCGCCGUCCUCUCGUCUCCCAAGCUCUGCCACAUCCGAUCCCACACCAGUCCGUGCCUCGGGGCCCUCGAUCGGUUAGAGGAAUGCUGGCGGCGAUGGACUCCUCGUGCCGGCGAUGAUGCGCCGAGGGGAGCAAUCGGACAUCCGGUAGGACAAACGGGAGGGGAGCGCGCAUGGAACGGCCGGGAUACGGCGGUGCUCCGGCGAGACAGCGGCGCCCAGGGGUGGUCGGCGAACGAAGUAACGACCGGGGGCGGACGGUAAAUGAAAUACCGCCCACCCCCCGGGUUCCCAGUAGCUGUUGGAUCGGACACCUGCGGCCUGGAUCUGCGUACGGGAAGGACAGACUUCUCUCCUCUAUCGCCCUCGCUCGAGAGACCCCUGCUGUGCCCCUUGACGCCGCUCUGAGAUCCGGCGACCCGCGGCGCGCAGGCACCGCCCAAGAACGCAGCUGUCGUCGAGUGAACGCCUCACGGUAGAGAUUGUUGCUGCAGAUCCGCGGAGAAGGCGAAGAUACGGUCCUCGCGCAUGUCCUCCUCCGUGCAGACAUAGGAGCUGUUGCUCAAAAGAAGUAGAGGCAUUGGCAUUGACCAAGGACUCAAGGACAGUAAACACAGGCCAGAGGCCCUCGCCGUCGGCACCACUGGAAUCGAAUCACACCAACACGACCCAGCGGCGUCGCGGACAGGCACGGCCCACGGCAUGCAUCUCGGGCUGGCCAGAGCUUGCGGCGACGCACAGCGCGCGCCUCGGAGGCAAACGGGCUGGUGAACAGAGGUCGGGGACGGGGAGAGCCUCCACCGCGCCGGUUCCGUUCCGCCGGCGGGCGACCACAACUUCAGGAGGCCUCCUCCCUCCGGUACGCGGAAGGUGACAGGCGAGCGCGCGAGGUCGCGGCCGGGUCGCGGCGGUUGUCCGGCGAGACAACAACCCCAGGGGUGGACGCCUCGGUCUCUAUCAACCAUCGGAUCGUCCUUGUGCGGUCGAGAUUGACCAGGAAAUUACAUAAGCGGAUGGAAAUUCCCCAGUUCUUCUUCCUCGCUCGACUCCCGCGCCCCCGUCCCCCGCGCGGCCAGACUGCCAGAGCAUCUGCUUCCCCCAACGACGUCCUGACCGGACCUCUCGCGAGCCGCGGCACCGGCGGUGGAAGGGAUACGGAGACCCACACUCUUGUUCCGAUGAUGUGUCCUUGCGGCGGCGAGGCCGAGGCUCACUGCCCGACGGAACGGCCUUCUCAUCCUACUGCUCGUUGCGUGGCAGCGGGCUUAACAGCGCAGAGAACGGCGGCCGCCGGAACGUGGCGUGGAGGUGCAAGACGAUGUUAACUGUAAAACGGUGCCGAUGAACAUGAGAAUUUCUGCAAUCCCAAGGACAGACCACCAUAAACUGAAGAUUUGCUUGAUUCUGAUUUGCAGACUGCAAAGACACGCCGCAGCAACAGGCAUUCUGCAAGCGUGGCUACGAGUGACAACCCAGUGUUUAGCUAUCCCCUCUUAUCACUCUGCGGAUUUGUGCAGACAUAUGGCGAUACUGCACCUAGCGUCAAAACUCAGAACAGAACCCACAUGAAAAAUGAAGGAGCAGCAAAAAUGGCGGCGGGAACAUAACGAUGUACAGCUGCAGAGGCAUUUUGCUGACUGCUUUACACAGCCGAUGCUUUCAUGAAAAAGAUUUGCACAGAUCGUUUUGCAGUUGACAGUUGAAACCAAUGAUCAAGUCUGUGUAUCAGGCUAUCUGGGACCAAAGGGUCCAUCUCCAUCACCACAACCAACAGCUCUAUCUGGCAACGGUCUCCAAGCAUAAUAGCUCGAGAAUUUGACACGGGCGAGUCAUGGUUCAGCUCCAAACAGAAGCACCAGCGAGUCAGCAACAGGAGCAGGAAGGGACAGUUGGGAUACACCACAAAAGAAGAAAAGCCGUCAGCACAAAAGGCGCCAUGCAUUGCCUCGUUUCUAAAAUCUUUUCUUUGCAGCUGCUUAGUGCCAUUUAGCUGUAUCUUUCCCGUCCUUAUAUUUUUUGAUGAAAAAUGCGUAUCACGUUGCCGAUCAAUAAUUCAAAACCAAAGCAGAGGACAAUUAUGAAAACCAAACAUCCACCUGGCAGGAGACAACAGGACGAGGCGAAACGGCCUAUUGGAAAGAAGCUCUAAUCUUUUUUGUGUGCAGCUUCUUUUUCUCUACAUCUCAACAAAAAUAGUCAUCCGCGAAGUAAAAGCACGUUUCCUGAGGAUUUGUGAUGUUUGAUCUACUGGGAUGCUUUAGUUAUUAUGGAAAAAAAAGAUUAGUAGAAAGUAGAGCAAUGAGAACCAUGGUUCUGAAUAUUUUGCAAGCAAAACUGGACAGGAUGCAACUGCUUCAGAGUUUCCAUUGCCACACCACACACACGCCGUGGCCUCAAGCUUGUCCUUUCCGGUGUCAACCAGGUGGCUUAAUAAUGGAGCGACAGUCGAGUUUAACUAGUGCUUGAUCACACACUUUUAGCGCUUGAUCACAAACCACCAAAAGGAGCCAACCAACUGCAAAACGGCAAAUCACAAGUUCCAACACACCAAAGCCGUAUCAACAAACGUCCAAAAAGAAACCAUUAUUGUUAGUUCCUCCUCAAUUCACCUCCCCGAUGAACAAAACAAACCACUACUCCAUCAGUCGGGACCUCAUCCAUCAGAUCGGCGGGCAUGCAAUGCCGGGGAUGCAAUCCAUGGUCAGAUUCACCACAAGAUUAGAGCAAUCUCGGGAGCUUCCGGUUCCUGCAAUGGCAAGAACAACCUGAUGAACUGGAUCGGAUGACCCCAGAUCCACCAGCAAACAUGGCAUUCGGAUUGCAGAGCACCAUGCCAUCCAUCAGUAAAGCAACAUGACAAUAGCAGAGAGCAAGAACAAUUACGGCAAUGGCGCAAUGCACGGAUGCAACAUUUGGAACUCCAAAUACCAUUUAUAUUACGAUUACAUUGCUACUACAUGCCCUGACAGAUUUACAUAAGACCACCCGUCAUCAUCAUCGCCACCGCCCCAGCCGGCUGCCGGCGGGAGACCUCGACGGCCGACCCAAAAUGGGCAUUCUUCCCCCAUCAUCCGCCGGACGCCGCAGGCAAGCACGACUUUUUCUUGGGCCACGGCCAUGAGCGCCAUCACGGACGCCGCACCGGCCGGGACAGGUAGACCCGGCAUUGGAUAAGCGUCCGGCCGACCCUGAACCCCGGCAGCACGGUGAACCCGACCACGCGGUCGUCUGCGGCCACGGCGGCGUCGUCGGCGCGCCCGUCGCUGACGCUCUCCAUGUACACCUCCGAGAACCGCGCCCCCGUGCGCACCUGGAAGAUGGAGGCGCCGUCCUCCUCGGCGCCGCCGUCGAACGCGAAGAAGAGGCAGUGCAGCAGCCACACGCGGCGGGCCAUCUCGGCGAACUCCGCGAACCACGAGCUCUCCGGGAACCCCGGCCCGGCGCUGACGAUGCCGCGCUGCUCGAGGCGGCCGAAGAAGGCCGUCUCCAUCCGCGCGUGCACCAGCGACAGGUACUUUGCGCGCAGGAACUUGCCGAACCCUCCCCACCGCGGGUUCCUGACAUCCAGGAAGGCGCUCGCCGGCUCCGCCUUCAGCUCCGUGAACUCCUCGAAGAACCGCCGCCGGUCGUAGAACUCCCGCUCAUCCAGGAAGCUGAAGUUGAAGUCGCGGCGGUGGAAAUUGGCGAACAUCUUCAUGGCGACGUAGGAUUCGAAGACGAACUUGGUGUCGCCGGCGCGGCGCAGCGGGACGCCCGGGUGGACGGCGACCGCCGCCGCCGCGAGAUCCCACCCGGCGGACUGCAUCGAGUUGAGCAUCGACUUGGAGAAGGAGCGGAUCGACUUGACGGUGUGGCGGAGCGCGGUGAGGAAGUGCGUCGGGUUGAGGCCGGAGAGGUGGAGGUCGUCGAGCGACGCGAGGGUCCGGCCUGGGUGGAGCCGCGCCUCCAGGGCGCGCUCGGCGCGGAGCUCGGCGGUGAGGGAGCUCCUGAUGCGCUCGGCCUCGGCGUCCUUGGCGCGGAGCUCCGACUCCAGCUUCCGCGCCGUGAUCUGAUACGUCUUGAGGAGGUGGCGCUGCUCCUCGGCGUGGGCGGCAAGGGUGGUGUGGCCCGCCGCCGCCGCACCCCGGGCCGCGGCGGCCGGGUCCCUGAGGUACCUGCGCUUGGUGUCGGACAGCCUGGUGAGCUCGGCGACGACGGCCGCGUCCGCGGACUGGAUCGCCUCCGCGUCGUAGGGGAACUGCGCGAGCUGCAGCUGCGCGUACGCCGCCUUCACCGCCGAGACCCCCGCGAAGAGGGUCGCGAGGAGGGAAUCCGCGGCGGCCUCCGGCGUCACCUCGCCCGGCGCCGGCCGCCCCACUCCCCCUCCCCCUCCCGCAGCCGCGGACGCCUUCUUCUCGGCCGCGUUGCGGAAGAAGGCGUCGAAGGAGUAGGCCGCGGCGAGGUUCCCCGACAGCUUGAGCUUGCUGAGGGACGGCACCACAGGCGGCUCCGUCCGCUCCUCCUCGUAGUCGCCGGCCCCGACCACGGACGCCGGCGCCUCGGGGACGCCCUGCGCCGCCGCGUCGGCGCGCUUCCGGCGGAGAAGCUUGGUGAAGGUGCGCGCCAGGUUGGCCGCCUUCUGCUGGUGGUGGUGGUGGUGCGGAGCCGCCACUUGCGCCUCCAUUGGAGCCGGGUUGCGCUCUCACCGCCGGCUCCCCUCCUUCUCCAGCCUCCUCUCCCUCUUGUGGCGUCCGUCCGGGUCUGGGGCUCUGUGGGUGGGGGAAAACGCGGGGUGGGAUUAAUUUUUCCAGGAAUAUUUGGGGGUUACUGUAAAGUAAAAGGGCCUGCAGCAGCAGCAGGGCAGGGCUGCGCCUGCGCCUACGCCUACGAGUACUGUGUGUGCGCGUGCCUGCGUGGUUCGCCUACCGAUGGAUGCAGACGGUGGUGAGUUUAAUUUGUGGAAACCUGGAGGGGCAAGCGAGCAAAGUUUCUGAAGCACGGCACCACGCGAGAAUGGGACGGUUUUCUAGAGAAUUCUUGUAGAUACAUCAUAGGAUUUUUAUUGCCAUCUUAUGGUUAUACCAUUAAUGAGACCAUAGCUAUUUGCGAUUUUAUUGGCAUUAAAACCUCAUCAAUUACUUAUUAUUUUUUAUCUAUGAAACCAUAUACAUCUAUUCAAAAACUUGCAAUGCAGUUAACUACACAUAGCUUGAGCUUUCAGCACAAAUUAGCACUACAACAAUACAGAGAUAUUUCCUUAUCUACAUGUAAAACCUAUACAUAGCGUAUGCAUGUGUCGUGACGGGCAAAUGAUUGUUGGAUAACUACGGUAACUGGUACCAUAUCAUCAAUAACGUAACGUCUCAUCUCACCUUGUCUAGUAGAGUUUGAAGUUGCCCUUGUAUCGCCCAACAGAAACCUUGUCUCGCCCAAUAGAAAUUGAAGUUGGCAUGGUGGCUACUACCGACAACGUAACGUAUGAGCUAGAGAGAAGCAGGAGGGGCAAUUUGACGGUUACAAACAACUAUCGUGUCUUUGUCCGUGCCUGGUAGCAUCAAGAGAAGCAUGGCAGCGCUUGUUUAUGUCAUCCGUAUCGCAACAGCUUUCCUUGUUCAAUAAGGUUUGCACUCGACACGGGGGAGAUGCUACCGACAAAGCCAAUGCAUGAGCUACCGACAACGGCUUUCCUCGCCCAAUAAAAUUUGUACUUGGCACGGGAGGUUUCAAGCGGGAGGAUCGACAAUUCUUUAAAACUGACACAAGGAUUGAUCGUUAAAUUUAAAAAAAAAGAUUAUUCCAUAUAACACUUAAGAUCGACUAUUGUACCGUGUUACUAUUGUACCGUGUUACUAUCAGGGUGGGUGGAACUCUAUCUAACGUGUACCCUCAACUUAUUACAGCAACCUGAUUUUAAUUCUAAACACCAGAAACAUUUUAAUCCUUUUUUGGAUAGAAAACAUUUUAAAUCUAUAAGGAAAAGGGGCUGCAUGUGCAUCCAUAGGAAGGAACGGAUGAAAACGGCUGCGAGCGAGUUAAAAGGCAUUCAAGACGGAUAAAAUCCGGUAAGCUCCAACUUUGACGCCCCAGGGGUGGUUUGCAUCCAGCCACAAGCGCUGCUGAUACAUACCAAAAACAAAAGAGAUGGCGUUAUCCCUGUGCGUGCAGCGCAAUAAAUCCGCUGCGCCCGCGUACCACUCCAUUGACCCUGCCUGCUUCCCCUCUCACCCAACCCACCGUGCGCGCGGCCCCGAUCGGGAGAAAUUCCAUCGGCCAUCACCGUUUCACCGCACACUUUCUCCCCCGACUCGACCCUCGUGGCCUCGUCCCUGUCCCUGUCAGUGACUCGGCGGUGACACGGCCAGGAGCCGGCCGGAACAGGCAGGCCACAUCGACGCAGGUCAGGCCGGCCUCGCCGGAAACCGCAGGGAGUGAAGUUGGUGGCGAGCUUUCGCCCGUGCGUGCAGUGCUCGCCAGGGCAUGGACACGAUGCGCUGCGCGACACCGGCAACCAAACCAAACCCAGAUGAGGCAUGGUACGACUGCUCCACAUGCAGAAAAACGAGGGCGAGAGAACGACGGCGCGCGCGCGGCUCGCGGCUUGACGGUCUUCAGCGCUCACACACAGACACAUGGGGGCAAUGCCAGGGGGCCUGAUAAUAAAGGAGGGAGCUUUCCGUUGAUAGCAACAGUUUGCUUUGGAGUUUUGCCACUGAACAUAUCAUCAACAUCCGUGAGACGAGGAGGUUGCUGGUAUGGUUAGGUCUGCUCCAGCCAGGGAUUAGGAUUUCGUUUUUCGAAUUCUUUCAGUCCACAUUGAAAAGACCGAAUUUUGCAAAAUUUUAGCCAAAAUUUGAACUAAAAAUUUUGGGCAAAUCGUAAUUUCGGUCACCACCGAAAAAACCGAAAAUUUGAACACCGGCUCCAGCCAAAAACUAUAAAAAUAAUGAAAAUCUUUGUUGUACUACUAUACCGAGUUGGUAGAGUUUCGUGUUUGACCCAUUUUUGGUGAUUAUUUAAAUACUAACAUAAAUUGCUAUCAGAAACAAAAUAGGCAGGUGAGAUUGUGCGAAAUCAAUCAAUGGGGGUCGAGAUCAAGCAACCCUAGAGGACCCCGGGAGUCCAUGUCCCUCGACUGUCCACGGGGUCCUUUGCAUUGCACCUAGUUUAUUCGCUUCAAUGUUGUUCCCUCAACUUGUUGGCAAACUAAACUACGUGCACGUAUCUGACAAUGUCCUGUUCUAGCGUCUUAACCCCUAGUUUAUUUAUAACCCCGGAAUCCGAGGAUAAGCUCGUACGCGGCCAUAGAUUAUCUCUCCCGGACGAGCCAACCUAUCUAUCUGUUGUAACUGCCACUAUGUCCACACCUCUAUCGUUCUCUACGGACAGACAGUAUCAAAAAUUAGACCAACACCGUGUCAAAAAAAAAAACGCCUGGGGGAGGAAGUUGGCAUGUGCGCGUCAAAUGGCACGUUGUGAUGGCUACGCCCAACGCCACGGAAAAGGGUGGGGAUUUAACAGCGCACUGCGGGGUUCGGUCGCGCUGUAGCACUAAUCACUUGCUUUAUGUUUGUAAUGAUUUCCACCACUCACACUUAGUGGUGGUACAAACUCACUAGUAAGACUGACACCCUCUUUUGUCGAUCGAUUGUGCGUGCGUAGUAGGUGAAAGAUGUCACGUGCCUGGGCCGAUAUCUCGGCCAAGAGAGAAUUUAGGACGGCCGCGUGGCUUUGGAAACAUGGGACUGCUGGUGAAACUCUCAGAAAAGGGGAAACGCCUGACAGAGACGGUCUCUCUCACGGUCAUGGCACGAACGCACAUUCCCCCUCGAAGAAAAGGGAAAAUGGAAACACACGCCGAAUUGCUUGCCACUUGCAAGGGCGAGAACGUGCUACUGUAGGGGGCUUCGGUGAAAGUUGUGCAGUGCAGAUGGAGAUAAAGAAAUCCCGAAUGGUACAAAAAGGAUACCCCUAGACUACGGGCUAAUAGCACUGUUAUUCCCCAGAAGACCGGCAGCGGUCACGUGCGAGCUUUCUUCUCCUCCAUCCGAAGCACCACCGCACAACACAAGAAGUGACCGUGGUAACUUUUACUUUACCCAAGGUGAAUCGGUAAAUAAAGAAUGUAAAACUGGAACAGGCCAGGUUAAUCCCGGCCAAUCAGUAGUGUUGCCUGCUUAAGCUUAGCAGUCGUAAUAAUUAAGUACAGUACCCUGCAUGCUGUAGAUCACGGCUGCGCUGCGCACGAGCCGCGGAAGUACGCCAGUACUGGAAGGGAAGACGACAGAUACUGUUGCGGGUGUACAGGUAUCUGGAGACUGGAGCACCCUCCCUGAUGCCCUGGGGCUACUACUUGCUCUUGGUGACAUGGCAGCGUGAUGCGGCGGCACAUGGAGGGGAAUGAUGCGCGUCGGGCUGGCGACACGAUCGGGUUUAAACCAACGCCAGUGAUCAGCGGCCGGGGUCGCCACGGAUUCGAUCCUGACCAACCAGAACGCGGGGAUCGCAUGCUAACACUGCAAAGCAGUGGCAAAACCUGAAGAAGGCUUUUUUACUAGUGGUGCUACAAGUCCUUUGACAGCGGUCGAAGAGCAUGCAUGGUCAAUACGUACUGUAUGGUGGUAAUUGUCUCUGUGGGGUUGGGGAGUGGGGACCACGGAGACAAAGGUCCACAGGAGGAGAAGCGGUGCGCGCACUGCAGGCAUUCUGCAGGGCUCGCGUCAAUUAAAGACUUGAUUAGCGGCAGUAACAAUCGUGCCCUCCCCUGCAAAUGCUCUGCCCUGCGAAUGGCCCCGGAGCGCGCGCAUCACAACUGGCGCCCACUAGCGGCAGCAAGUCGUGUAGACCAGAGAAGAGAAGAGAACGCUACCGACACCCUCCGGAUAGGGUCUGUACAGUCUACCGCGCGCGUAGAAACCAAACUCGGACCACGUACGCGUGCACUGUAGCGGCAGUGCAGGUUAAUCUCCUGACGGGCUUUGUGUGGCUGGAGCGUGGGCCCCACGAACUAUGUCUCCGCGACGUAGCUCUUGCAUAGCUGAAAAAAGAAAAACGCCCCGCGAGCGAAGUCCAUGUUUGUUUUCGCAGCGAAACUACACUCCGGCUCCUCUCUCUGUCUCUCUGGUCGACACUCGACAGCGACGUUUCGUUUCCUUGCCCCGUGCCAAGGAUUCCGCCGCAAUUCUUCGGCCCCUCGCGCGUGUGAUGUGGAUCCUUCUCAGAGAAAUCCAGCCGUGGUGACCUCGCGCUCCACAAGCUCUAGUAGUACAUUUUGAAAAAACAGAGGAAAUGUGGACAAAGGAAGCCCGAAAUCGUACUCUCCCGGGCGCCCUUCUUUUUUCAUUCGUCCCCAGGACCCGAACAAGACACGUGCUGCUACGCUGUAGUAACUCGGUUACCGUCAGCAACGGAAUUUAUUUACGAAGCCCAAAGAGCGAGAGGGUGUACCGUGUACGUGGUGUGGAUUCAGCAAACGCAAAGAUUCAGAAAUUAAGCACCGAGCGAAAGAAAGAUCAUCCGGCGAAACGUAAUGACGAGCGAUGGGAAGCGAAGCGGAUCAAAGUACUCACCAGCAGAUCAGCUGAUCAAUCGGAGAAGAAACAGCAACUUGAUCCAGCUCGUCUCCUCCUGUCUCCUCGAAGCUGAAGCUGAUUCGGCUCCCAAGCAAGCGAAAAGCAAACCCUUCCUUCCUUCGCUCGCGGCUCCAGCAGCGUCGAACCUGGGGAACGCGCGAAUGGUCGGUCGGCACUCGGCAGGCGCCCCUCCUCCUCCUCCUCUUCCUCUUCCUCUUGAGGUGGUCGGCACCGCCCGCCACCCGUCCCGGCCCCUCCCGACGCCGACCUGCCGCCGUCCCACCCGGGCCAGCAGGAGGACGAAGCCGAGGCGAAGCAACACGCCGACCCGUCCGCGAUGGGAUUGGCCGCCGAUCAAACGUUUUCUAAGGAGUUGAGUAUUUUUCCAUCCGUGCCCCACUAUUUAUUCCGGUCCAGGCCCAGCCCCCAGGCCCGGGAGGUUCAUUUCAGAUUCAUCGAAAUUGCGUGCCCACGUCCACGUGUGCUAGCUAGCUACCGAAAAUGCCCUCCCCACCACGCGUUCCAGACCCAGCCCUAUCCGAUACGACCACGUGGCGGAUCGACGUCGCUCUCCCCGUCAGAUUUUGGGCACCGCAGCGAUUGCUGAUUUCGUCCCGGUAUUUAUUAAACGAUACUGGCCUAGUAUCAAACACCCUUAAAGCUAUGAAACUCCCAAUCGAUACUGGCCCAAUACAUCCUAACUUUUUUUGUGCGUGUGCGUGGAAAGCUUUGCAAUUAAUAAAUUGCAAUUGAGCGUCUCACCUCACCAGUCGCUUCGAAGAUGGGCGGUACUGAACUACUGGCCGGCUGCAUGCUGGCCCCACUGGACCAAAUAAUCUGCGUGGUGUGUGCAGACAUGCGGAAAAAUAAUCCUCCACGUCCACAUGUGCUGAGUGUAUUGAAUGCGGGGGAAAAGUAAUGAUACGUACGUAUUUGCGUCCGAUGCAAGGGUUCAGAGGAAAUACCACUAGUAGUAGUAGGAUGCACGGAUUAGUGGCCCUAUUGGACCAAACUUUUGUCGAGCAGUACGCGUCCUCCAUUCCCCUUCGUGCUCCUGAUAUUCUUUCCUGCUCUUUUUUAUUUUUUCCACCCAUCUUUUUUUUCCUGUUUAGACCAGUGUUGUGUCAACAUGCACUUUCUGCUCUUUUCAACUAUUAUUAUCAAAACAUGUCAUUUUGGUUUUUUCCAUGUGCACCGACGUCAAGUAAAAAAAAAAGCAGUCCUCCCACCGCGGGGUAGAUCGGGCAACCCGGUCUGGCUUCUGCUCCACGGCCUAACCAGGCAGAUCUGUCGGGUAGUGGCGCCGCGCGUGGGUAAAGGGGUAAAAGCCACGCGGUAACGGCCGGUGUGGCAGGUGGUGAAUCACUGAACCUGUGAAUCAGAGUCACCGAUGCAAAAUUUUACCGUUCACGAAUCACCAUCCACCUGCACGGCUGCACCCACCGGAAGUACGACCGAGACUGACCCACCGGCGUCAGCGGUCCACCCUGUCAGACCCGAUAAGAUUAGCGUGCUAGUUACCGAUACCUAAUAAGUAUAGCAGUGGUGAAUCUUUUUUCUUCUUCGUAGCAGUACUAAUCGACGAGUUUGGAUUUGAACCGACACGCCGCGACUGACUCAGGGUUCAUCUCAUUCCAUCUGUUUCCUUCUUGUUAAUUCUCUCCGUAUAUUCCUGCAUUACUCCAUUGCUUAUUUUAUCCCAUUACUUAUUUUCUUACUUAUUUUGUCGGCCAACGCAACAGCGACGUCCUUCUCAGCGCGGCCGCGUGUGCUGGUUUCCACGGAAAGAUUUUAAUCGAUUUCUCCACGAUUCUCGGCCGUGUCUCACCUAACUUUUGUUGGGAUUCGCCGGCCGGCCGCUUGCAGGAGACACGGCUAAGCUACUGAAGAGACGGUGAACAGCGCCGGCGACGGCGAUGCGCGUGAAGACAGACGGGGACGGGCGCCGUAUCCUCUCCGGUGGCUUUUUGCGUCGCCGCGUUGCUUUCCUGCGUUGUCACGUCGCGCCCGGCAUUCCCGGAAUCCAUCCAUCGACAUCGAAUCCGGCCCAGCACGUCUACACUUGUCCAGCUAGAUCUUUUUCCUGUACACUGUACAGUAUCUUGGAUACUCCCUCCGGUCGGAUAUAUUUGACGUUUCGACCAGAUGCGCUAGUUCAAUUUACGAAGGCUGUUUUGGUCUGAACGUCAAAUAUAUGUGACCGGAGGUAGUACCCAUCCACAAAUCAGAACAUGUUUUUCUUUUUCCCUUUUGUGUUUGAGCCUGGUCUUUCCCUAGCUUCUUAGCAAUUGCAAGUUGCAAUGCUUAUCAUUGAUUGGUCUGAGCACUGAGAUGUCUCCCUCCUCUUGCUUGCAUUGGCAUGCACGGUUUCGUGUUUACGACACACGCUUGUUGCACGGCUUUGGCAGCAGCGAGAGGCUUUAUAGUUUCCUCUUUAGUUUCGUUCAUGCGCGCGACAUCCCCACGCGUGCAGUGCAGGCUGCAGGGUGCUUCUUCGCUGCUUUAUUUGCAUGGUGACGAGAGCUCAGAGAGCUCGGCCAUCAUCGGUCAUGUGCAUGGCUCUGCACUACUGCGACGAGUGUCCGUCCAGUAGUUGCCAGUUUGGACACACACCACCUUUGGGCUUUGGAUACGAAUACGAUGCAGGAGCACGAGCAGCUGCAGGCAGCACUGUACUUGCAUGCCCCCAUGUCUCUUUCCACACGAGCAACGCAAACAUUAUUGUCGCAGGCGCCUUCAAAAGAAUCGAAAGGCAUCGCAUGCACAUCAAUGGAUCAUCAGCGCACCAUUGACGCGGGAGCUUGCAUGCAUAUCCACAUUCUACUGCCAGGCGAUCGAUCGGCUAAUAAUAUGAUGUGUGUUGUCAGAAUGUGUGAAAUCUCGCAGCAGCUACAAGCAUCAAGCUAUUAGUUAUUCUAGCUAAAUUGUAGAUCGUUUUGAAUUUUCUAAGUUCAUAGAUAUUAUUAUGCACCUAGAUAAAAGUAAAAAUAAUCUACAUUAAUCAACAUUAACGGAGGGAGUAUAUCUUUAGGUCGUCUCUAGCUAGACUCUAUAGACUCUAGCUUCUGUAAUUUUCUUUUUGUUAGGAGGAUAUAUAGGUCCGUAGAAUACAGGUUACAGGACAUAUUCCCAUUCACCUACCUACCAAGCUUUGGCUUUGUAGCCAAUCAAGCCUAAAGCCGUGGCGAGACGGAGAUAACGAAAAGGAAGACAGACCCCACCCCUCCAGCAUGAUGAGAUGACAGGGCAGGACCCAGGUGAACCAAGGCUAGUGCAUCUGAGAAUAUGAUCUCAAAGCUAGCCACCGUGGGACCAGAGAGGCCAGUGUGUGCAUGCAAAUGCAAUGCAUGGUACUUUGCCCUUUAGAUGACCGUCGCGUGGGCCCUCGAUAGCUCACACUGCCUUCGAGCUAUCAUGCCCGGCUAUCUUUUAAGUGCUAUAAGGAUGUUCGGAUCCAUAGAUUAAUUUUUAAUUUGGUUUAUAUUGGAUGUUUGAUACCAAUUAGAAGAACUAAAUGUAAACUAAUUAUAAAACUAAUUGCAUAAAUGAGAAGCUAAUCAUGAACUAAUUAGGCUUAAUAGAUUUGUAUCGCGAAUUAGCUCUCAUUUAUGCAAUUAGUUGUAUCAUUAGACUAUAUUUAAUACUUCUAAUUAGUGUGCAAACAUUCGAUAUGAUAGGGACUAAAGUUUAGUCUGGUUAUCCAGACACUUCCCCUAGAACAUGUAGUACGCCGAAAGAAGAGUACGACUAGCCGGGAAUAAAACUGAUCGAUCGGGAAUCCAGUCAUCAUUCCCUGCAUGGCUUUUUCAGUUUUUCCAUGUGAUCGAGCUACUAGCCUACCAAUGCAUAUAUAGGUUCACUCACUCAUUUCGCUCCCCAUUCAUCACGACCUCUCGCUCACCCGCGGUGGCUACGCUUCGCUUGGCUUUCCGUGCAAGUUUCCCGGCCGGCAGCGGAGCUCAUGCAUGAUCGUUCUGGUUUUGGAAUGCGAGAAACAAGAUCAUAAUUUCCCAAAAGAAACGAAGAUCAUGUAGUGAUGAUCGAGCCGUGGUUGUAGUAGAUUAAGCAACGUCGUAGUAGUACGAGAACAAAAGAGAUGGCGCGCCUAACGUGUCAUGGUGAUGAUGAGCUCUAAUUGCGAUCCAAGGACUCGUACAAGUUUGGGCUAGCUGGUAAUGAGUGUCAAGCUAGGAGAUCAUAACAGGGCACGUAUGUACGUACGUGGCUCAUGAUUCAUCAUACGAACACGCAUGUAUUCAGCUCAGUAGUCAAUCGUGUCGGAUGCACUACUAGCAACUAAACAGCUGGUUGCUCUUUCCCUCUCUUCGAUUUCCUUGAGGAGAAAAACGGCAUUAUUAGGACCUUAAAAGAUCGUGGAGCAAAGUCAGCAUCAAGAUUUAAAGACGAGUCAUGAUCCACAUAUAUAUGGUGCACUUUUAAUUAACCAAUACGGAUUAAAGGCGAGAGCGAACUCGACUUGUGCAAACCUACAACUACAAGCCACAAACUACAUAAUAAACUGACAGAAUGCUUGAGAAAUUAGAAUUAUGGUGGAGCUUACAAUGAAACCUAUGCAUCAUUAGUAAACGGCCAAAAAAAAAUCAUUUUUAUGAACCAUGAUCAUCAUGCGUGGCCCCAUUAGUUUAGUAAGCAGCAGGGGUUUGCGCCGCCAGCUGCAGAUUAUCAGUCGGUCGGGUGGUGGAUGACAUCAUGAUCCAUCGAUGACGGCCGGCCCGGGCGCUAAUUUGCUGGUGUACGUAUUAGCCAGGCAGGAUUAUUGAUUGGCCUAUAUCCUUUGACUGCACGGUACGUGAUCUGAUGCUGAAGUGAAGUGCUUAAUUUUAACAUAUUUGGCUAUUUUGGUUGUGGCUUCUCCAGUGGAGCAGCUUUUUUUUUGCUCGUCAUCCACGCUGGCGCCAAGCUACAAUGUCUCGGCGCCAGCCAUCCUGGUGCCAAGGUUGAUGCGCAGCUGCUGACGCGGGUGCCGAUGUGGCGGGGGCUUGGCGCCAUCCAUCAUGGCGCCAAGUUUGGCGCCUUAGAUCUUGGCACCGAGCUAUCUACCCCGUACCCCUUCGCGGUUCGAACUAGCUAUCCUAAUUAUUCCAAGGUCGCACGGGGAGGAUGAGUUCUAGUUCAACUGAGUAUCUAGCUUGUCGGCACUGGCCACUACGGCGCAGCUUGGUGCCAAGAUCCACGGCGCCAAGGCUUGGCGCCAUGAUGGAUGGCGCCAAGCCCCCGCCACGUCGGCAUCCACGUCAGCAGCUGUGUAUGGACCUUGGCGCCAGGGUGGCUAGCGCCGAGACGUGUAAGCUUGGCGUCAGCGUGGAUGGCGCCAAGCUAAGGGUCCAUUUUUGGAAUUGGUUCCGCCAGGAGCGUAUUUGUGAGAAUCUUUCGCAAAAAGGGCUAAAAAACAAAAAAGUCGGCCGGCUUGUCUGGUUGAAAAAAGUUUGGUAAAACGACUUCUCCAAACGGAUAGAAAGGUGAAAUGUCCAUAAUACCCCUGUUCCCCAUUUUUUCUCUCUUUUCUUCUUUUAUUUUCUUUUUUCCCUUUUCCCUUCCUAUUUUUCUCUCUCUCCUUUAUUUCCCAUCUUUCUUAUCCAUUUUUUCCCUUUUCCUUGUCCGUCGCUGCCCAGCCCCAGCCUCCCGCCGCCCCCGCCGUCACCCCCCACCUCGCCCGUCGCUGGCCAGCCCUAGCCUCCCGCCGCCCCGCCCCAUCCUUCUGCUGGCUCUGUUGGCUGCCCGACUUCCGCGCCUGUCGGCCAUCGCGACCGCCUCUAGUCCUCGCACCCGUCGGUCGGCGCCGGCUAUCUUCAUCCUCGACCCCUGCUGCAGGCCACCUCCGCCGGCCUCCGGUCGUGGUCGGCUGCUUAGCGCUGCUUGCUGCAGCCUCCGCCUGCCCGCGGGCCCUCCACCGAGGGCAACGAUGGGAAAUGAGUAGGAGCCGCGGGGAGCUGGUUUUUUAGGCUCCUCCUCCCUCUUUUGGCUCCUCUCGGCGCAAAAUGCGGGGCUCCGAUAAUGAAGCUGUUUCACAUCCUCCCGUUUAGCAGGGUUUCAGAAGAAAUCGGUAGAGGAGCCGCUCAAGAAGUCCUGCAAAAGGGAACCUCAACAUGUCACGCCACGCAGCAACCACCAACAACCGAUCGAUCACCAUCAUGAUUAAGUCGUUGCGAAAUGAAUAAUGAUGUACAAUAUGAUAUGAUACAAUGCAUGCAAAGGGAAGGAGUUUGCAGUUUUGUCACAUUUGGUGUCGUCCUUAUUGGCUAGCUGCUUGUCAUGAAGGCAGGACUGGAUAGUGAUUGGUUUGGCCCUUUUGCUGGACGUAGUUGCGUCAUCUAUGAUAUAUCCUUCGCUUAUAUUUUUCUUGUUCGGUAAAGGAGUUGAUGACGGGUCUGCUGACACCGGGAAAUCAUUUCAAAAGAUUCAGACCAUUCAGGUUUAGCCUGAAAAUACACUAGGUCACUAGCAAUGUAUUUUUUUUUUGGAAUCAACGGCCGGCUGAACAUUUUCAUUCCAGAAGGAGUUUUACAAGAUCAGGCACCCGCUCCCGAGUGAUCAGGGUACAAACAGAAGGGGAAAGGGAGCCACAAGGGAUUACAUCGCAGCGCAUAUACAACCAGAAGGAUACAAACAAUACUGACAGCAAGAGCAAAGAAAGAGAAGAUUACAUGCCGUCGCCGCACAAAAGAGCAGGUGCAAAAUAAAUAACCUGUUCGGUUGGACUUAUAAGCCGGCGGAAAAGCUGAAAUGGCUGAUUUGUUGUGAGAGAAAAACACUAUUUGGUGGCUGAUAAGCUGAAGCGAACAGAGAAAAAUCGUCGGCGGACACAACUACAAUGUAAACCUGCACAAGAAGACGAAAGGACGAAAUGUUGGAUCUUUAAAAGUGGCUCGGGAGCAUGUAAUUUUAUCGGGGGGAGGACGGAGGAACACGCUGCCACGGCAGCAACGACGACGGGCGGGGGAAGCCGGGGACGGUGCGCCCCCCGGGUGUACAGAGCUAUCACCUCCUGAGUCGCCCCUCGGGAGCGCUCAGGAAAAUUGAUUUUCGUGUCCAAAUGAUGCCCCUUGUUCCACAGCAUUCAUCACUAGCAAUGUAUGAUCAUAUCCUACUAGAUCUGCUACAAGAACGGAACAACCUGAACAGCUUAGUACUGAAUUACGGUAGUCUGUAUUGUUCAUUUGGUCUAUUGGAGAUCGAAGCCACUUGGGCACACGCUGCACCGUCGUGGCGUCGUCGGGAGGAGGAAGAAGAAGCAUUCCCUCGCAUCUCGCGAUUCGAUCAGGCGUGGGGGCCCGGAUGCCAGGGAAUGCGAGCGGCGGCCUCCGCGCUUGUCGUCUACUUUUACGGCGCGCGCGCGCGUGGGGGCCCACGGUCUGACCCUCGUUGAGCCCGUGCUCCAUUCCAAUAUCGUGUGGGCCUGAGCCGUGCGUGGGGCCCCAGUCAGGUCCGGUAGCAUGUUAUACUUUUACAGUUGGUAGUUGGAGAUGGUAGUUAUUUUUUUUAGAUCCGGGGGCCGGGUAGAGUCCCGCCUGUCAGUGACGCGUCAAACACGGGUGGUAAAUAAGCUAAAAGUAAAUAUCAGUAUAUAUUUUUGAAAACAAAGUAUAGUAGUCGAACUUGUAGUAGCUACUGUCUACGUGAAUAGCUCAUUUGGUGAUGGCAUUUGAAACGACUUUAGUCACCUUGAUAAUGUGUCAGUAAUUCCUGUUAAGGGCCUGCAUUCUUUAAACUAACCAAAGCUGCCCAACUUUAGGAUGCCAAAAUUACUGUAGUAACACUGUAGCGUUUCGUUUGUAUUUGUGAAUUAUUGUCCAAAUGUUGACUAAUUAAAGGGGGUGUUUGGAUCCUAGAGAUAAAAUUUAGUCCGUGUCACAUCGGAUAUUCGGAUGCUAAUUAGAAGGACUAAACAUAAGCUAAUUAUAAAACUAGUUGUAGAACCCCUAGGCUAAAUCGCGAGAUGAAUCUAUUAAGCUUAAUUAAUCCAUCAUUAGCGAAUGUUUACUGUAGCAUCAUAUUGUCAAAUCAUGGACUAAUUAGACUUAAUAGAUUCGUCUCGCGAUUUAGCCUGGGGGUUGUGAAAUUAGUUUUGUAAUUAGCCUAUAUUUAAUACUCCUAAUUAGUGUCAAACAUUCGAUAUGACAGGGGUUAAAGUUUAGCACAUGGUAUCCAUACCACCCUACCUUGAGCAAGUGCGGUGAGUAGAAAGCCCUACUACCUCUGUGUGUCUUGUCAGUUGUAACGCCCGUAAAAAUACACCUAAUUAAAUCACUCGUUAAAAAUACUUUCCAAAAAUUUUCCGACCGCUGAGCUCCGUCAAACCCUUUUCCCUUCCGUCGGACCCGCCGUUCCGACCCCGGCUCGUCAACCCUCUUUUUCCGCUCCCCGUAAUUUUCGCCGCGUGCCCGUUCAAUCCAUCACGCGAGCCGUCUAAAUCCCGCAACUUUCGCUGAGCUGCCCCUCCCCUUUUUCCUCUCCUUUCCCUUGCUUUUUCCUUUUCUUCCUUUACUCCUUCUUCCUUCUCCUCUUCUUCUCCCUCUCCCUCCUUCCCUUCUCUCUCCCUCCUUUUCUUCUGGCGCAACUUCUCCUGGCGCCAUCCGCCUGGCGCUACGCGCCUGGCUCUUCCCGGCCAGCUCCUGCCGUCCGGCCCCACCGGGCGCCACGCGCCCGGCCGCGCCUCGGGACGCGCCACACGCCCGGCCGCGCUCGGCCGCGCCGCGCGCGCCAGGCCGCGUCGGCCGCGCCGCGGGCGCCGGGACGCGCCGCGCGCGCCGCGCGCGCCUGACCGCGCCGGCCGCGCCGACCGCGCCGAGCGCGCCAGUGCGCCGCACGCGCCAUCCUGCUCCGCUCCGCCCGAGCCAUCCCGUCGCCGCCCCUGUGCACCGCGCCAUCCGCCGGCCAACACGCCACCUCCCCGGCGCGCUUCCCCACGAGGUCGCCGCCCCCUGUGCGCCCUCGACGACCACGCCGCCACGCCAUCCACGAGCAAGCCCGCCCGAGCACGCCACCGGCCGGAAAGUCCCGGGCACCAUCAUUACCACCGGCCGCCCCCCCCUUGCCGGCCUAUAAAAGGGGCCACGCCCGGCCCUCCGCACCACCACCACCGCCGCUAGCUUGCCGCCGCCCCUCCCUUGCUUCCCCGUGCGCCCGCCGCCGCCGCUGCUAGUCGCCGCCGCCCCCUACUGGACCGGCGCCGGCGCCCCUUCUCCCACCGUCGCCGCCCACACCACCCUCUCCCUCCCCCACCACUCGGCCGCGCCGCCGGCAAGCAAGGCCGGCCAGCCCGCCGCCGGUCAACACCCCCCUCUUUCCCUGUUAUGGCCCAAGGAGGAAGAAGAGGAUAAAAUCCCUCCUCUCCCGAUCUAACCCUCAAGUUUUCCCCAUUCGCGAACAAGUCCUCCCACCAUUCCAAAAAUAAUUACAGAUAGGCCCCUGCUCUCGCGGUUUAGUCCUAAACCUCCUUUUAAAGCCCCUAAUACUCCUUUAACCCGUCAUUUCAUGCGCCAAAUUUCCUCCAAUUAAUCCCAAAUUCAACCACGGCCUCCUCUCACAUAUUUCUGCCGAGGCAUAUCAAAAUUCCAUGAAAAUACCCUUCCUACCUAUUUUCCGUUCAUAUUUCCUGUUCGGAGCUCAACGGGUAAAAACUUUUUCCCUCUUUAUUUAUUGUGUGCUCGUUUGUGUGUGCCGUAGAUCGCGGAGUACCCGAGGAGGAGCGCGAGGAGGAGUUCGACCGCGAGCCCGAGCCCGAGGACCAGUACCGCGAGCAGGAGCUCCCGGAAGGCUUUGAGAACGGCAAGUCCAAUCUCACCCUUUGAUGCAUAUUUAAUACCCAGUUUUUCAGACACAACCUAUUGGCCUGUUUUAUAAAAUGCAUAUCGUUUUAUCGCAAGACAUGGUUGGAUAGCCACCCCUUGAUUGUUAUGAUUAUUCCUUGUCGUCCCAUAUUUAUCUCUAAAUAUGAGUUGCUCUGUUUAGAUGAUAAAUACUGCUAGAAUGCUUAGGAACUCAUUAUCCAAAUGCAAUCAUGACUACACCUGUUUAUUCGGAAGAUAAAUGUGUGAGUAUGUUUAACUGAGGAGUUGGGUUUUCGGGUGUAAAGAGAGGUGGUGGAUGAGAUGGAUGGGCGUUUCUGGUGUGAGAUGCCGGGUUGUUGGGCUCGUACCUUAGUGGUUGAGCAGAGUGGGAGUUAUCCAUCUUGUCAUGGCUAAGGACCGAGUUGAUGUGUCAUCCUGCCUAAUUCCAUCAUCGUGCAACCACUCGACCGUUGUAUGGGCAACGACUUAGCAUAAACCCCACUAGCUAAACUGCUAGGCUUCAGGUGUGCUGGUGAGCAGCGGGAGCCCUUGGAAAAGGACUAAGCUCUUGGUGACUUAGGUCCCGGUUUCGGCCCCGUGGAUGGGUUGCUAACCCCUUGGGUGCUUCCGUGUUGACUAGUCAGUGUUGGCUAAGGUGGGUAAUGACUUUGUUAGGAUCCGUACCGUCACUAAGGUGAUCGCGAUACGGUACCCUACUUGUGGGAAAAGUGUACAACCUCUGCAGAGUUAAAACCUAUCCGGGUAGCCGUGUCCACGGCAUUGGACGAGUUACGGCUCGGUCACACAACUAGCUUUUGGGGAUGACUGGUAUUUAUUGUGUGUGUGGGUGUGUGGAAUUUUGGAAGUGUCCGGCAGUUGUGCCGUGCGCUACGGCGGACGGGGAGUCCGGUAGCGAUAAAACUUGGAUCCUUUGUGUAGGAUCAACCCCACUUGAUGUAUCGGUUACUAAAAUGUUUUCAUGAAACUUCUUUGAAAUGAAACCCUGCAUGUGUCUAAAAUUCAGCUUUACUGCAAAUAAACCACAGCUUUACCCUUGUUUAUUCAUAUGCAUAUUCCUGUUGUAUCCCCCUCCGUGGAUGGGGUUGGACUUGCUGAGUACCUUGUACUCACCCUUGUGUUGUUACUCCAGAGGAGGAUCCGGACUUCGUCGCCGAGGACUUCGAGUAGGAGGUUGCGUCUGCACCCAACGCUGCCUGCGGUGUUGGCCCUUUUGCAGGAUGCUUCCGCUGACGCAUAGUUCCGAUUGCAGACCGGAGUCCGACUGGACUGCAACUUGGAUUUGUAUUGUUAUCGCUUUAGUCUUGCUUUGGGUGUGGCUUGCCCGCCCGCUCCUUCGGGAGUUGUACGGUUUCUGAACUAUCUGUUGAAUAAAUGUGUUAUCAGCCUCCUGGGACUGAUAAUUGGAUCACAUUUAGUCUCUACUUAUAUGGGGACGCUUCAGGUGGUAUCAGAGCCGUCGUUGGCCGUAGGACGUAACCAUUAGAACCGGAAAAGCCAUUUUGACCAAAUCAAAUGAUUUACAAAAUUUCUUGCUACCCCUGCUCAUUUGCAAAACUGAUUUACACCCCGAUUCUUUCCAGAUGGCCGAAGAAGGUUGGACCAACAGCCACUGCCUGGAGGAGCCCGGUUUUCCCAGGUUGCUGUUCGCCUGUAUGGACCGCCUCGGGAUUUACGAGCGUCCGGAGUACUUCAACCGGGAGUAUGAAGACCGUGGAACUCUCCGGUGUGAGAUGACCAUCUUUGUGGGCAGGAGCAGCCGCUUCCCCGACAUUCAGCCUUGGAAUGUGUCUGCCACUGGUUUCCGGCGGAAAGACACUUACCAGGCGGCAGCUCGGAAAGCCCUGCGCUACCUGUGCCAAAUUUAUGAGAGGCACAUCGGACGCACACCGAUGAGGUUCUACCCGCCUGUCAAGAAGAACCGCCCGAUUUGGCUGGCCCGGGUGAGGACUUUGGAAGGACAUGGACAGCGCGAGGAUGACCCCACCGUGCUCCAUAUGGCUGCCUAUCUCCUCACUUUGGAUGAACUCUGCGAUGAGCAGGCCGCCCAUCUGAAGCAGCAGAUCCGCAGAGCCGAGGAUGCCGAGGUUAUGGUAAGGAGGCUCCAGGUGAGAUUGGCAGCACCUGAAGCCCGAGCCGCGGCCGCCCAAAGCAAUGAGGCCCUCACCAUCGAGGCCCUCAAAGAGGCCGAGGACCGGCACGCGCGGGCACUAAAGGAAGUCCACCACUCGAACCGCACGAGGAGGAAAAUGCGGAUCGUGGAGGAUGACGAGGCCCCAGUAUUAGAUGGAGUCCCUGUUGCCCAGGGGUCCGGAAAGUGGAAGAGCCCCGAUGCCCCAACAACACCACCGCCUUCGGAAAGGGAUUCUGAAGUGGCCAAUGGAGAAGCCUCGGAACCCCCUCCUGCAGGUGGGACCCUAAGAGACGAGGUGCUGGCCCUCCUUAUUCCGCCAGAAGACCACUCCGCGCAGUGUGCAGAUUCGUCCCGCGAGUAGAGUGCCCACCCAGAGUUUGCCGAAGGGAGUGGAGUCGUCAUGGUCCGUAGUCAAGAGUUGUACUCCAGAAGCUGUCCCGAGUCUAGAUUUGUACCCCCCCCAGUUGUGUUGUUGUACCGGUCGUGUAGCACGUGUUUUGACCCUACCCCAAGUGUUGUAACCGCCCCGGCAAGUUAAUAAAAUCAUUUGUGCUUGUUGUCUGUUAGUCUGUGUGCUUGUCGACAGGAGGUGGAUUCUGUCUCUUCGAAAAUUCGAAAUAAUUAACUAAACAUCACCUUAAUAUCCAAAUCCAAGUUUCAUGAAAGUUCACUCAUUCUGCAGAUGCCUCCCAAGCGUGCCACCAGGACCUCCCCGACUCAAGCACGUACCACUCCUAGUGCAGAAAGGCAGCAGGAAAAGGCAGGGACUCCCACCAGUAGUGCACCAUGAGGAGCAAGAGGUGAAUCAGCCCGAGGGUAGGGGAGAGAGUCAAGUGGGAGCACAGGAGCCACCGCCCCCACCGGUCAUUGAUUUGGUACAAGUCAUGAACAACCACACCCUUCUGCUGGAAGCCUUGGCCAAUGCCAUCACUCGCCAAAGGCCGCGCGGACAGGGUAUGAAUGAGAAACUGACAGACUUCCUCCGCACCAAGCCACCCACUUUUGGCGGGUCUAUCAACCCCCUGGACGCAGAUGACUGGCUGCGGGUCAUUCAGAGGAAGCUAGAGCCAUUCGGCUGUGAGAGCAGGGACAAGGUUCUCCUGGCUGCACACCAGCUCACUGGGACUGCUUUAGCCUGGUGGGAGAACUACUGCACAGCCGCCCAGGAUGCCUCCACUAUCACCUGGGAUGAGUUUGUGACAGAGUUCCGCCGCUAUCACAUUCCUGCGGCUACCAUGAAGCGCAAGGCGGAUGAAUUCCGUGAACUGCGCCAAGGCAACAAGUCCGUGGAAGAGUACACCUAUCAGUUCAUGGAGUUGGCUCGCUAUGCUCCAGAAGAAGUAGACAAGGAUGAGAAGAAGCAAGACAUGUUCAAGAAGGGCUUGAGCGCAGAACUGAGGACCCUGCUUACUCCUCAGAUCUACCCUGACUUCAACACCCUGAUGAACAUGGCCAUUCUGACUGAGAGAGCCAAGGCAGAUAAAAGGAGGGAUAACAAGCGCCGGUUCCUGGACAGCAAGGCCCACCAGCAGGACAGGUUCCAGAAACCAAAGAGCUUUGGUCACCCCAUACCCAGGUCCCAAGCUCCCAUGCAGUACCGGACCCAGUCUCAAGCCUCCGGUUCCCAUCAGACUAAUGCCCCAUUCAGAAGCUAGAACCCUGUCAAGGCCCCACAGAACAGCGCCAGUCAAGUCACCAACAACGGCAGGGCAUGCUUCAACUGCUGUGAGCCAGGGCACUUCAUUGCCAACUGCCCCACGCCAACAAGCCAGCUGCAUCAGCCUUCUCCAACGCAGUGACUGGGCCAAGGGCAGCAGUGUCAGGAGCCAACCGUGUUCCCGUCCGUAGCAGCAACCCCGGCAACAACAGCAACAGCCAGCAGAUGAGGCAGCCCCAACAGUCGUUUGGACGAGCUCGCGUCAACCACAUCAGCGCGCAAGAGGCUCAGGAAGCUCAGGGCGUUGUACUCGGUGAGUUUCUAGUCAGCUCAGUUUUGGCAACAGUACUCUUCGAUUCUGGAGCAUCACAUUUAUUUAUAUCAUCAAGCUUUGUGGAUAAGCACCACAUACCUACAGUACUACUAAAGGUACCCCUAAUAACCCAGACGCCUGGGGCCGACAUCCAGUGUCGACUAGGUUGUUCCCGGGUAAGGAUCAAUUUAAGUGGGGUAGAAUUCCUAGCAGAUUUGGUAGUACUUAAGUCUAAGGGAAUAGAUGUGAUCCUUGGAAUGGAUUGGCUAAGCCUACAUGAUGGACACAUAGGAUGUGCUGAUAAGGUUGUGCGCCUAAUUAACCAGGAUGGCGUGCAAGUGACCUGUCACACCCAGGGAAGUGGGUCCGACCCCAUGGUUUUUAGCAUGGAAGCCAAGGCCAUAGAAAGAGUUCCGGUAGUGAGUGAAUACCCGGAUGUUUUUCCUGAAGAACUACUUGGAAUGCCCCCGGACAGGGAUAUAGAGUUUGUGAUCGACCUUAUCCCUGGAACCUCCCCUAUAGCCAAGAGGCCCUAUAGAAUGGCAGCAUCUGAGUUAGCAGAGUUGAAGAAACAGUUAGGUGAACUACAGCAGAGUGGCUUUAUCAGACCUAGCUCAUCCCCGUGGGGAGCCCCAGUACUCUUCGUCAAGAACAAAGAUGGAAGCAUGAGGAUGUGCGUGGAUUAUCGCGCACUAAAUGAGGUCACCAUCAAGAAUAAAUACCCCCUUCCCAGAAUAGAUGACCUAUUUGACCAGUUAAAAGGAGCCAAGUAUUUCUCCAAAAUAGAUUUGAGAUCAGGGUACCACCAGCUCAAGAUUAAGGAAAGUGAUAUCCCGAAGACAGCUUUUGUUACCCGAUAUGGCCAGUUUGAAUUCACAGUGAUGUCCUUUGGGCUGACCAAUGCCCCUGCUUAUUUCAUGAAUCUCAUGAACAAGGUGUUUAUGGAGGAGUUAGACAAGUUUGUCGUGGUCUUUAUCGACGACAUACUUAUUUACUCCAAGAGUGUCCAAGAGCAUGAGCAGCAUCUGCGAGUAGUACUGGAGAAAUUGAGAGCCCACCGACUUUAUGCUAAAUUCAGUAAAUGUGAAUUUUGGCUAGAGAAGGUGGCAUUUCUUGGUCACAUUUUGACCGCAGAAGGAGUAGCAGUUGACCCCGAGAAGGUGGAAGCCGUCUCCAACUGGCAGCAGCCCACCAAUGUUAGUGAAAUUAGGAGUUUUCUUGGUUUAGCUGGGUAUUAUCGGAGGUUUAUUGAAGGAUUCUCUAAGAUAGCCCGACCUAUGACAGAGCUACUCAGGAAGGACAAGAAAUUCAAUUGGACUGAGUCAUGUGAGAGGAGUUUUCAGGAACUGAAAAGAAGAUUAACGACCGUCCCAGUGUUAACCCUACCGGAUAUCCAGCGGGACUUCGUCAUUUAUUGUGAUGCUUCCCGACAAGGGUUAGGGUGUGUCAUGAUGUAGGAUGGGAAGGUAGUAGCAUAUGCCUCCCGUCAACUUAAGCCCCAUGAACAAAAUUACCCCACCCAUGAUUUGGAAUUUGCAGCCGUAGUGCAUGCCCUCAAGAUCUGGAGGCUCUACUUGAUCGGGAACAAGUGUGAGAUUUACACUGACCACAAGAGCCUAAAAUAUAUCUUCACCCAACCCGAUCUGAAUUUAAGGCAAAGAAGAUGGUUAGAGUUGGUCAAGGAUUAUAAUCUGGAAAUUCACUACCACCUCGGUAAGGCCAAUGUGGUAGCGGAUGCAUUAAGCAGAAAAUCCUAUGGGCAGAUCGGACCUAAGGACCCCUACUUACAAGAGGAAAUGGCCCGAUUAAAUGUGCACAUCGUCCCUCAGAAUACCAGCCGCAAGCUAAGUGUUCAGCCCACCCUGGAAGAAAGAAUCCGAGAGGCCCAAGGCUCGGACACCGACCUAGUGAAGAUUCGCAGGCAAACCGGAGAAAAUAAAGCCCCAGACUUCAGAGUGGAUGAAAAGGGAACCCUGUGGUACAAGGAUAGGAUUUGUGUGCCCAAGGAAAGUGAAUUUCGGCAGAUCAUCAUGGAUGAGGCCCAUAACUCAGCAUAUUCCAUCCACCCGGGAUCCACCAAGAUGUACAUGACUUAAAACAGAAGUACUGGUGGAAUGGGAUGAAAGCAGACAUAGCCCAGUUCGUCGCUCAUUGUGAUAUUUGCCAAAGAAUUAAGGCCGAACAUCAGAAGCCAGCAGGUUUACUGCAACCACUACCCAUUCUAGUUUGGAAAUGGGAUGAGAUUGUCAUGGAUUUUGUAAUAGGAUUACCCAAGGCCCAAAAAGGGAAUGACUCCAUAUGGGUGAUAGUGGACCGACUCACUAAAGUUGCCCACUACUUACCCGUACGGACCACCUAUGGAGGAGAAAAGCUAGCUCGGCUUUAUGUGGACAACAUAGUGAAGUUGCAUGGUGUACCUAGCAGAAUUGUUUCGGAUAGAGGGACCCAAUUUACCUCUAGAUUCUGGAAGAGUCUUCAUAAGGCUAUGGGCACCAAACUGGACUUUAGUUCAGCUUAUCACCCCCAGACCGAUGGCCAAACAGAGAGAGUAAAUCAGAUCAUGGAAGACAUGUUGAGGGCAUGUGUCCUUACUUAUGGCAAAGAUUGGGAAUAGAGUCUACCAUAUGAAGAGUUCUCAUACAACAACAGUUACCAAGCCAGCUUAGGCAUGUCACCGUUUGAGGCUCUCUAUGGGAGAAAGUGCAGGACCCCGUUGAUGUGGUCGGAAGUGGGAGAGAGCACCUUGGUAGGACCUACCUUUAUUAAGGAAGUAGAAGAGCGAGUAGCUGAAAUAUGAGAGAAGUUGAAAGCAGCACAGUCUAGACAGAAGAGCUACUCAGAUAAAAGGAGACGAGAGUUGAUUUUCAGUGAGGGGGACUUCGUGUACCUUAAGGUCUCUCCGAUUCGAGGUACCCGAAGGUUCCAAGUGCAAGGAAAGCUGGCCCCUCGGUAUAUCGGACCAUACAAGGUGCUAAAAAGAGUUGGAGCGGUAGCCUACCGUAUUCAGUUACCCGAAGAAAUGUUGGACAUCCACCCGGUAUUUCAUGUGUCCCAGCUAAGAAAAUGCCUGAGAGUACCAGAAGAGCAAGUACCGGUGGAAACCAUAGAUUUGCAGAAGGAUCUGCGAUAUCAGGAGGUACCCGUCAAGAUUCUAGACACUGUCACCAGAAGGACAAGGAAUUCAGUAGUGCGGAUUUGCAGAGUCCAACGGAGUAGGCAUGGUGAAGAAAGAAGCCACUUGGGAACGCGAGGAUGCGUUAAAGAAGGAAUUUCCCCAUCUGUUCAGGAUUCAGCCGAAUCUCGAGGAUGAGAUUCAAUUUAAGUGGGGUAGGUUUGUAACGCCCGUAAAAAUACACCCAAUUAAAUCACUCGUUAAAAAUGCUUUCCAAAAAUUUUCCGACCGCUGAGCUCCGUCAAACCCUUUUCCCUUCCGUCGGACCCGCCGUUCCGGCCCCGGCUCGUCAACCCUCUUUUUCCGCUCCCCGUAAUUUUCACCGCGUGCCCGUCCAAUCCAUCACGCGAGCCGUCUAAAUCUCGCAACUUUCGCUGAGCUGCCCCUCCCCUUUUUCCUCUCCUUUCCCUUCCUUUUUCCUUUUCUUCCUUUACUCCUUCUUCCUUCUCCUCUUCUUCUCCCCCUCCCUCCUUCCCUUCUCUCUCCCUCUUUUUCUUCUGGCGCAACUUCUCCUGGCGCCAUCCGCCUGGCGCUACGCGCGUGGCUCUUCCCGGCCAGCUCCUGUCGUCCGGCCCCACCGGGCCGCACGCGCCUGGCCGCGCUCGGCCGCACCGCGCGCGCCAGGCCGCGCCGGCUGCGCCGGGACGCGCCGCGCGCGCCUGACCGCGCCGGCCGCGCCGACCGCGCCGAGCGCGCCAGUGCGCCGCACGCGCCGUCCUGCUCCGCUCCGCCCGAGCCAUCCCGUCGCCACCCCUGUGCACCGCGCCAUCCGCUGGCCAACACGCCACCUCCCCGGCGCGCUUCCCCACGAGGUCGCCGCCCCCUGUGCGCCCUCGACGACCACGCCGCCACGCCAUCCACGAGGAAGCCCGCCUGAGCACGCCACCGGCCGGAAAGUCCCGGGCACCAUCAUUACCACCGACCGCCCCUCCCUUGCCGGCCUAUAAAAGGGGCCACGCCCGGCCCUCCGCACCACCACCACCGCCGCUAGCUUGCCGCCGCCCCUCCCUUGCUUCCCCGUGCGCCUGCCGCCGCCUCCGCUAGUCGCCGCCGCCCCCUACUGGACCGGCGCCGGCGCCCCUUCUCCCACCGUCGCCGCACAAGGUGAGGGCCCAAAACGGGCCCCCCACACCACCCUCUCCCUCCCCCACCACUCGGCCGCGCCGCCGGCAAGCAAGGCCGGCCGGCCCGCCGCCGGUCAACACCCCCCUCUUUCCCUGUUAUGGCCCAAGGAGGAAGAAGAGGAUAAAAUCCCUCCUCUCCCGAUCUAACCCUCAAGUUUUCCCCAUUCGCGAACAAGUCCUCCCACCAAUCCAAAAAUAAUUACAGAUAGGCCCCUGCUCUCGCGGUUUAGUCCUAAACCUCCUUUUAAAGCCCCUAAUACUCCUUUAACCCGUCAUUUCAUGCGCCAAAUUUCCUCCAAUUAAUCCCAAAUUCAACCACGGCCUCCUCUCAUAUAUUUCUGCCGAGGCAUAUCAAAAUUCCAUGAAAAUACCCUUCCUACCUAUUUUCCGUUCAUAUUUCCUGUUCGGAGCUCAACGGGUAAAAACUUUUUCCCUCUUUAUUUAUUGUGUGCUCGUUUGUGUGUGCCGUAGAUCGCGGAGUACCCGAGGAGGAGCGCGAGGAGGAGUUCGACCGCGAGCCCGAGCCCGAGGACCAGUACCGCGAGCAGGAGCUCCCGGAAGGCUUUGAGAACGGCAAGUCCAAUCUCACCCUUUGAUGCAUAUUUAAUACCCAGUUUUUCAGACACAACCUAUUGGCCUGUUUUAUAAAAUGCAUAUCGUUUUAUCGCAAGACAUGGUUGGAUAGCCACCCCUUGAUUGUUAUGAUUAUUCCUUGUCGUCCCAUAUUUAUCUCUAAAUAUGAGUUGCUCUGUUUAGAUGAUAAAUACUGCUAGAAUGCUUAGGAACUCAUUAUCCAAAUGCAAUCAUGACUACACCUGUUUAUUCGGAAGAUAAAUGUGUGAGUAUGUUUAACUGAGGAGUUGGGUUUUCGGGUGUAAAGAGAGGUGGUGGAUGAGAUGGAUGGGCGUUUCUGGUGUGAGAUGCUGGGUUGUUGGGCUCGUACCUUAGUGGUUGAGCAGAGUGGGAGUUAUCCAUCUUGUCAUGGCUAAGGACCGAGUUGAUGUGUCAUCCUGCCUAAUUCCAUCAUCGUGCAACCACUCGACCGUUGUAUGGGCAACGACUUAGCAUAAACCCCACUAGCUAAACUGCUAGGCUUCAGGUGUGCUGGUGAGCAGCGGGAGCCCUUGGAAAAGGACUAAGCUCUUGGUGACUUAGGUCCCGGUUUCGGCCCCGUGGAUGGGUUGCUAACCCCUUGGGUGCUUCCGUGUUGACUAGUCAGUGUUGGCUAAGGUGGGUAAUGACUUUGUUAGGAUCCGUACCGUCACUAAGGUGAUCGCGAUACGGUACCCUACUUGUGGGAAAAGUGUACAACCUCUGCAGAGUUAAAACCUAUCCGGGUAGCCGUGUCCACGGCAUUGGACGAGUUACGGCUCGGUCACACAACUAGCUUUUGGGGAUGACUGGUAUUUAUUGUGUGUGUGGGUGUGUGGAAUUUUGGAAGUGUCCGGCAGUUGUGCCGUGCGCUACGGCGGACGGGGAGUCCGGUAGCGAUAAAACUUGGAUCCUUUGUGUAGGAUCAACCCCACUUGAUGUAUCGGUUACUAAAAUGUUUUCAUGAAACUUCUUUGAAAUGAAACCCUGCAUGUGUCUAAAAUUCAGCUUUACUGCAAAUAAACCACAGCUUUACCCUUGUUUAUUCAUAUGCAUAUUCCUGUUGUAUCCCCCUCCGUGGAUGGGGUUGGACUUGCUGAGUACCUUGUACUCACCCUUGUGUUGUUACUCCAGAGGAGGAUCCGGACUUCGUCGCCGAGGACUUCGAGUAGGAGGUUGCGUCUGCACCCAACGCUGCCUGCGGUGUUGGCCCUUUUGCAGGAUGCUUCCGCUGACGCAUAGUUCCGAUUGCAGACCGGAGUCCGACUGGACUGCAACUUGGAUUUGUAUUGUUAUCGCUUUAGUCUUGCUUUGGGUGUGGCUUGCCCGCCCGCUCCUUCGGGAGUUGUACGGUUUCUGAACUAUCUGUUGAAUAAAUGUGUUAUCAGCCUCCUGGGACUGAUAAUUGGAUCACAUUUAGUCUCUACUUAUGUGGGGACGCUUCAUCAGUCGUCAGCUCUCAAGUCCCAACUCCUCCAAGCCCUUGUUUACUUCACCCCCAACUCCCAACUUUGGCACUAUGCAAAAAGAAGAUUCCCCAUCACAUCAAACUUGCGGUACAUGCAUGGAGUACUAAAUGUAGACGAAAUUAAAAACUAAUUGCACAGUUUUGUUGUACUUUGCGAGACGAAUCUUUUAAGCCUAAUUGGUCAAUGUUUGGAUAAUAAUUCACAAAACAAACGAAACGCUACAGUGUGCUACAGUGUUGUAACAGUAAUUUGGCACCUCCAAACUUUGUCAACUAAACAAAUUGAUUUGAAUGAAGAUCUCCUUUGGUUCCCGCACCUAAAGUUUAGUCCCUAUCACAUCAAAUAUUUAGAUACUAAUUAGAAGUAUUAAAUAUAGACUAUUUACAAAAUUCAUUGCACAGAUGGAGGCUAAUUCGCGGGAUGAAUCUAUUAAGCCUAAUUAGUCCAUGAUUUGACAAUGUGUUGCUACAGUAACCAUUUGCUAAUGAUGGAUUAAUUAGGCUUAAUAGAUUCAUCUCGUGAAUUAGCCCCAAUCUAUGUAAUUAGUUUUAUAAUUAAUUCAUAUUUAAUCCUCCUAAUUAACCUUCGAAGAUUUGAUGUGACACGAAUUAAACUUUAAUUUACAACCAAACUCCGCAGAUCGAUUUUUUUGGACGGCACGACGGGACGGUGGCGCGGGCCCACGAGCUGCCUUAAAAGGUAAAAGGAUUCACGUUUUGAUGGCACGAGGCCGCGGCGAUCCGAUGGAUGCUUCUGUUCUGCAGGUCCCCCGGCAUGGUUCUGAACCUCUUGUUUACUUCACUCCCAACUCCCAACUUUAUCACUAUGCAUCCCCAUCACAUCAAACUUACGGUACAUGUAUGGAGUACUAAAUGUAGAUGAAAUUAAAAACUAAUUGCACAGUUUUAUUGUACUUUGCGAGACGAAUCUUUUGAGCCUAAUUAGUCAAUGUUUGGACAAUAAUUCACAAAUACAAACGAAACGCUACAGUGUUGCAACAGUAAUUUGGUUCACCGAGUAAACAAGGGCUUUCUUUCAGCUGUGCGGUGCUUCAUUAGAGCUCGGAUCAUCAGAACUUUGAUGUUACCAGCACUGCACACGCAUCCGAUAGGCCGAUGGAGCGUUGAUCGAUGUGUGUGGUCACGGUCAUCAGUUGGACGCGUGCAUGCAUGGGGUCUAGAUAAAGCACGUCGUCGCGUGAUGGCGCGAACGAAGCCGCUGCGUCGCCGUCGCGUGGCGCCACCACGAGCUUUAGAUCGCGAGUAAGCUCUAAAGCGAGCCUGCUUAUCGAUGCGAACGCUGUGACCAUGGCUGAAAGGCGUCGACGCGCGCACGGGCGGGCGCGGCCGAAAGCUGGGAGUUCGAGAGCCUUUGGCUUGUCCAACACGGUCAUCAAUUCAUCAUGUGUGUAUCCCGAUCGCUUUCCGUGUGUUUCACUCCUCUGCUACCUCUCUCUUUGGCAGCCGCCUCCUUUACUUCUCAAUCUCUCCUCUUUACACAGCAAUCAAUCGGAUACUACAGCAAGCGCCAAAAGUUCAGAGUUGGUUGUGGUCAGUUGGACUGGAUAUACUUGGAUACGCUUUGCGGUCAGAGGCUUACUUGGUACGCGUCAUGGGGAAAGCCCAAGAAAUCGAUCAGCGAUCAUCAUGGAGCAUGGGGGAGGAGCGGCAGGUGUUGCACGGAACAGUGAGUGCUCCUGUCAGAGUUCGCCCACACCCUGAUUCUGACCAGACGGUGAGCCCAGGCAAGCACACGAGCACGGAGCACCUGCCAUACUUUCCCCCAGAGGCCCAUAUCGCCGACCCAUCACAUAUGCCUCUUCCUGUUCCGGUGGUUGUUCCGACGAACCACAGAGAUACCCCAAAAGUGCUUCUUCCUCCCACUUCCAGACAACACAAGUACACAACACCGUGCAAAGUGCAAACGUGAGUCGCGUCGGUACAAUUAUAUGUACAUCUACAGAAAGACAAUCUCUGAACUCCCAAACGUCCUCUCGGCUUGAUUCAAUCAACACUACUCUUGCUACAACAAAAUGAUACGACUAAGUAACGGGCGCCUGCUCCCAGUGUGCACAUGACGAGAUUCAGGUAGAGGAGCCACUUCAGUCGCCUGGCCGGGGGCCCAGUUUAGUAGCGGCUGAAUGCCAGUGUGCAGCGGAAACACGACAAUCUGCUGAGCAAGCCCAUCUGAAGAUUGGAGCCCUGCAGUCUUUAUACCUUCUUGAAGAAUGACAUGAUGCUCCCUUGCUUGGUGCCAGUGCCAGCCUUCGCAGGUUUCUUGUUGCCUGCUGCUUUGCUUGGAGCUUUGCUCUUGUCAGCGUUUGCUGCUGGCUGUGGCUUGCUUGGAGGAGCCGCCCUGACAGAAGAUUGGAGGUUAAUGAGAAACAGCAGUAGGUAUUGACUUAGCGAAGCAGUGAAACCAGAAACGAAUGCAUAGGCACAAGCUAUCUCAUAGUAUGAUGGUGAUCAUCAACACAAAACGAGCAUCAGGUCAGGUCAGGGAGGUGCUGCUCUUGAACAGCAUCUCUACUGGUAUGUCUGUUUUUUUAGAUUAAGAACUGAUAUGUCUGUAUGUACCAAUAUUAAGGAAUUUCAAGAAGCCAAUAGAUCUAAGCAACAACAGAUUGGCAGAUGCUUCUGCCUCACAGGUUAAUCCUCCAGGCAGAUUUGUAUAAAAAAAAACAGCCACUUCCAAAAGUUGAAGGACCGAAGGGGCGACCAGAGGGGGGUGAAUGGGAGCCUAUAAAAAUUCUCAACGAGAACUAGGCCUAUGUUCCAAAUGCAACCCCAAAGCACACCUCGCGUUUUAUCGUCAAGAUGACGUAAGUCAACUCGUGACAAGCUCACCCUAGGAACGAUAAGAAACGCUCAAUUCAUAGCGGAAACAAAUCAUGAAUCGAUUCCAUCAAAUUUGAGCAAAAGAGAUUAAGCAAGGACACUAUUGACCACUUCAAACCUCACUUUGACUAAUCAUACAACGAUUUAAUAAGGAUACUUAUCUAACAAGCAAGGAUUAGCAAAAGAAAGUACCGAUUAAAUCAUACAACAACCUAACAGUAAAUAACUAGCAGUUGCAUGGAAUUAACGGAACAAGAAAAAGCUUACAGUGCUAUCUGGUGGAAGAAAUUGGGCCUGCUGCUCCUUGUCUCCCUUGACCGGCCUGCUAGCUGCGCGCUUGGCCAAGGUUUGCUGUGUUGUCACCUGCUGGGCUGCCAGCCUGGCCCGCGAAGCGCUGCUGGCCUGAGCCUGCUGUGCACCUGGUGGCCGGCCUGCUAGGCCUUGCUCUGCUCCUGCUAGGCUGCUGCUUGACGGCCCACCUGGCCUGGACGGCCUGCUGCGCUGUGCUGGCCAGUGCCUCACGUGCGGAGCGAGUGCUCGUGCUCCCGACGUUCGGCACAAGAAGAACAGAAGGAAAAAACACAAGAACACCAACAACUAGCUUCAAACUUCAAACGAAAAAUCCGUCCUCAGUAUUUCACGAAUCGAGAUGAAACUUGAGCCAUAGAUGCGCAACCCCAAGGGCUAAUAGAUCCACGAAAAAGAUCUCAAAACGCUCAAGUGUUCAUCGCGGAUUUAGAGAAAAACCGAAACCCUAACUCAAGAACACGAUUUAGGAAAAACUCAAAAUCAAGCCGGAUUCGUGACGGAUUUGAAGUGGGAUCAUAUCAAAGAUGCUCUUCAAGGUCCUAGCAACAAUUCCCUUCAACCAAUCUCACGAGAUUCGGGCUCAAACAUGAUGAACGAAAAUUCCCCAAAAAUAGCUCCGAAAAUAGGGAAAAAGAAAAACGCUUGGGAAACAAAGAUUUAUCAUGAUUUAAGACAACAAACAAAGCUAAAUCACGAGAACAUCUUCUAUACAAGAUGAGGACUAGCCUCCUCCCUUCAUCCACCCACUAAAGAUGAAGAAAGAAAAGAGUAAUCACUCUCUAAUCUCCCUCUCUCCUCUCACUUUAAGCACAUGACUAGCCUCUAAGCUAAAAGAUAAUGAGUUGCUAAGCUAAGAGGUACUGAAAUAACCAGCCCCCCAUCCCUAUUUAUAGUCCAGGAUGAAAGGCAAAACUACCCCUACAACUACAACUAGGAUAACUACCCACGUAGGAGCAUUUUGGUCCAAGUUUUUAUCCGCGCAUCGGACGGACACGCCGCCUUCACGACUUUGCUUCGCCUUGACGCAAGCUUCGUGAUGACGCCACAUGCCCUCCUUCUCAAAGCUCCGGCCGCACCGGGCUUGCCCCCGGUUUUGAGGCCCAAACCAGGAAACCUGCCUGCGCGGUGGUUUUGAGGCCCAAACCACCCAAACCGUCCUUCUUCGCUUGGCCGCUACGCGACCUCCUCGAUGUCGACGCGUGUCCGGCCUUCGCCAAGCCUCCCGCUUAACUUGACCGACGUCGUCUCCAUCUUAUCAUGUUCUCCCGUCGUUCCGUGCACCAUGUGGACCGCCCGUGACUCCGCCCGGACUCCUCGGGUCCAUCGGUCCAAGCCUACUCGCGUUCAUCCUUCACCGCCCUUGGUCCAUCGGUAUGAACCUUUUGCUUGACCUUCACCGCACGCUGUCGACCGCCACGUCGCAUCCUACACCUGCACAUCACAAGCCAAGAGCAACAUCAAACCAACACAACAUUGUCAAUCACUCAUCAUCCAAGGGUGACCACCAUUGGUCCUCAAUCUUCCCCUUGAUGAGUGCAUUGACAACACCCCACAAAUUCAUAGUAUUGAAAUAGAAAACAAGAAACUCAUAAUAGAAAAUCUCAGUCCCCUAAGAUAAGGGCAACGGCUCUACACAACUGAGACAAAAUCAUGUGAUCCCUUAAGAAGAGGCAGAAAAUGGGCUCAACACCAAUCACAUGAAAAUCCAAACUCAAAUAAAAAACCGACUCCUUAAGAAGAGGUAAACAGCUCAACAUGACCGGUACAAGGGCACAAGAGCAUAUCAACAACUCACAAAUACUCCCCCUAAACAUAUGCACUCCCCCUGAAAUCAUGCAUACAUGCAAAGUCUCCCCCUUGACAGAUAAAUGAGUUUGUGUAGAUUUCUCUCCCCCUUGUUGACAAUGCAACUAUCAAGAAAAGCAUGAAAGCACAAAGUGCAUGCCAUGGAAAUGCUAACAAGCUUCUCAAAUAUAUCACAAAGCACUCUCAAAUGCUACCAAGGAGAUAAAGCUUGAUGGAUCAUAAGAAAUAAUAGCAUCGCCAACAAGAUGAUAUCAAGUUACAACAGUGGAGGUGAAACAAGUAUCAAGUUUUAGCAAUGUAUAAAAAGAUCACCACAUGAGCAAGCACCUAGUUAAGAAUCACCCAAGCAAGAAUAGACUAGUCCAUCAAGAGCUCAUACUAGGAAACACCAUUCUCAACAAGAGAUCAUUGCAAACACCCACAUAUGCAUCACAAGUCAUGUUUAAAGCUUGUUCAAACCAAGUGUCUACUUCUUUUGGUAGACAUCUUGUAACAACUAAGCAAGCAAUAAUAUCACAUUAAGCACAAAAACUUGGUGAAUUUAUGAAUUUUUCAGCAGUUUUCUUUUCAUUAUUCACACAAAGCAAAAUACAUGAAGUGCCUUUGCGGCAAAAAGAAGCCAUGCUUCCCCAAGGGGUGCAUCAUGGGCUAAACAUUUGCAAUGAUACCUAGAUCGGUGACCCAAUUGAAAAGAACAUGGAUCCCAUGUUGGAGGUAUGCCCUAGAGGCAAUCAUAGAGAUGAUGAUAUUCCAUUUGUAUCCAUAAUUUGUAUAUUGUGUUCAUUGAAUAUCCAUCAAAGGCUACUUGAAUUGAUUUGCAAUUAUGUGAAUUGUAUGUGAAACUCUUUACUUGUAUGGUUAUUCUAAAGUUGUCCCUAGUCGGAGUUCAUGUGAGGACACACAUGAAUAUUAGACUAGCACAUGUAUUAGUUGAUGACUAUGUUUCGCAAGUCAUGGACAUGGAGAUGUUGAACUAAUAAUGUGGACACAUGUGGAGACAUGUGCUAGGACUGACCUAACACGAGAAGUAGUUAUCUCUUUAAACAACAUAUAUGCUUUGUCCUUAGACUUGAGAUUGUCGCAUGUAUUCAAGAUGUGGAUCGACCUACUUAGGGGCUAUUAAACGCUACGCCGUAACAGGGUAGUUAUAAAGGUAGCUUUCGGGUUUGUCAAGAAGCAUGCUAUGAGACAUGGUCAAUCAAGAUGGGAUUUGCCCCUCUCUGAUUGAGAGUGAUAUCUCUGGGCCCCUCGAGUGAUCGGAUCCGAAAAUGCAUGGCCAUGCUACGUACGGUUAAGAGUUAACCUACAAAGGGAUUCCGAAUCACAGGAUCGAGAAAGAGCGGUCGACUUGAAGCUAGACCAAAUAUCGCGAGGCAAAGGGAUUAGCAUGUAUAUUAUGUUGUGAUGGUUUGUCUGAUAUGAUCUUUGUGUGCGUAUAGGAGUUGGCACGUCUUGCUAGAGGCCGCUACCGACUAUUGGGCCGAGUAGGAGUACUCGGGCCAUGUCUAUACGUAUCCGAACCCAUAGGGUCACACACUUAAGGGGCUGGAAGCCCAAUUCGGAUGUGAUCCAAGUUGGAUUAGGUUUAGAAGUACUAAUGGGUCUCGGACCCAGAGGCCCGUUAGGAACCUCUAUAAAUAGAGGGGUGGGGGCGCCCUAGGGUUUACACCUUUUGGCAAAACACAUCUACCGCGCCUCCCACGCCCUUGCCUGUUGCAACUCGUGGAUCUAGCAGUCCGGCUUGCGACGCUUCCUCCCUGCACGUGUGGAUACCUUGGAGGUGUUGCAUCUGCAGCACUUGGACGAGCCGCCGACGAGCCAUGACGAGCCGCCGACGAGCCACGACGAGCCGACGACGAGCCGCGGCACGAGGGCGAUCUUGCUGCACGUGGACGAGCUGCUGAGGAGCUGCUGGACGUUGACGUGAUCGACUACGUACGACUACGUUGAUCGAUUACGUACGACUACGUUGAUCGUCUUCGCUGCAUCGACGCAAAUCUACAUCUUCCGCACCAGUAGUGCGUCGAGUGGUAAUCCCGUGAUCCUUAUACGACAGUUCUUCCUGUUUUUACGUGGUAGAAAUUUUGAUUUGCGCUAGUGUAGCCUACCUCGUAUCCCAACAUCCCAAACACAAGCUAAAUAUGGAACCAAUAUUCAAACAAGGGCAAACCAUAACCAAGCAUCUUCUCAUGGGUGAUAAGCAAGUUAAAGGAGUAGAAUUUAGCAUUGAAUUUCAAAAAAAGUUAUCUCAACAAGUAUACAAUAUCAUUAAGAGCAUAACUGCACAUUGCAUCAAAAUCACCAACCACAACACUAGCUCACAAGUAGCAUAAGGGAGUACACAAGGUAAAUAGGAGAAGCUCAUCUAGUGCAACAUGAUACAAAAUGCAAUAUGAUACAAAAAGCAUGGAAACUAAGCUAAAAUGAUAUAGAUGAACCACAUGCCAUACCCAAAUGUGAACUAAGGUAAAGCAUGACAUGAUGUUCAUAUGUAUCAUCCACCACAAUAUAUCAUAAAAGAUAGCAUGAUAAGAUAUACAUGAAGAACUCAAAGCUAUCAUGAAGAAGUGGCUAUCCUACCAUGUUUUGUACAAAAAUCAUACAAGUAUAAUACAAGAGAAGCUCCAAAACCCAACUCAGAAAGGAAAGCAAACACCCAACUCCCUCCGCAAAUGAGCAAAAGUGGCUUGAUCCAGGGGUUUGGUGAAAAUGUCCGCGAGUUGGUUUUGGGUAGCAACAUAGCCAAGGUCAAUGUCCCCUCUCUCAACAUGAUCUCUUAGAAAAUGAUAUCUCACAUCAAUGUAUUUGGUUUUUGAGUGGAGAACGGGAUUCUUAGCUACACUAAUGGCACUCGUGCUAUCACAAAGAAGAGGUACACGAGUAAAAUCCAAACCAAAGUCUCUCAAAGUGAAAAUCUUGUAAAGUAGUUUAGAACAACAGCUAGCAGCAGCAACAUACUCAGCUUCGGUGGUAGACUGAGCAACACUAGAUUGUUUGCGAGAAGUCCAAAAGACCAAAGACGAACCGAGAAACUGGCAAGUACCUGAGGUAGACUUGCGAUCCAAGCGACACCCAGCAAAGUCCGCAUCGGAGUAUCCCCAGAGCGUGAGUGUCGAGGAGGCAGAAUACCACAAACAAAACUCAGGGGUAAAGCGGAGAUACCUCAUGAUCCUCUUCACUGCCUGAUGGUGAGAUGUCCUCGGUGAAGCCUGAAAACGAGCGCACAGACACACGACGAAGUGAAUGUCCGGCCUCGUCGCCGUCAGGUACAAGAGGGAGCCGAUCAUACUUUUGUACUCCUUCUGGUCCACCGGUUCACCAUCUUCAUCCGCAUCUAGUGUCGUCGUCGUCCCCAUGGGUGUGGAGAGUGGCUUGGCAUCAGCCAUGUCAAACUUCCUCAACACGUCCUUUGUGUACUUCCCUUGGUGCACGAAGGUUCCUUCCUUGCUUUGCUUGAUCUGUAGCCUGAGGAAGAAGGUCAACUCACCCAUCAUCAACAUCUCGAACUCCCUGCUCAUGUCAUCUGCAAACUUGGCAACCAAAGUAUGAGUUAACCACCAAAGAUAAUAUCAUCCACGUAUAUCUGAACAAUCUAUAAGCCAUUGCCUUGCCUGAGGAGAAAGAGUGUUUUAUCAUUUGAUCCCAUUUCAAACCCAUUCCCAAGCAAAAAGGAUUUCAAUCUAGCAUACCACGCUCGGGGUGCUUGUUUUAGGCCAUAGAGAGCUUUCUGAAGUUUGAAAACAUGAUCAGGAUAUUUAGGACUCUCAAAACUAGGGGGUUGUUUCACAUACACUUCCUCCUCUAUGAAACCAUUUAGGAAGGCACUUUUCAAAUCCAUUUGGAAGAGUUUAAAACCUUUAGCCAUAGAGAAGGCUAGAAAGAUUCUAAUCGCUUCCAAACGGGAAACAUGGGUAAAGGUUUCCUCAUAAUCUAUCCCCUCUUUUUGGUUAAAACCUUGGGCAACCAACCUUGCUUUGUUUCUCACAAUCAACCCAUCCUCACUUUGUUUGUUUUUGAAAACCCAUUUUGUUCCUAUAGGAUGGCAAUUUGAAGGUGGUUCAACUAAAACCCAAACCCUGUUUCGCUCAAAGUUCUCCUCCUCCUCUUCAUUGCAUUAACCCAAUUUGAAUCAGAUAAAGCAUGUCCAAUAUCUCGGGGUUCGAAAGAGGCAACAAAUGCAGAAUGUGCAAAGUGUGAAAUCUACCUAGAGCUGUGCCUAGUGGUGCGUUCAUGUAAGUUACCGAUGAUCUGUUGUGGAGGAUGAUGACGCUGAAUGUGCCGUGGAGCCUCUCGCUCUGAAGUCGCCUCCCCCUCAACAGCAGCUGGAUCACUCUGAUCUUGUUCUUCUUCAUCCUGUAGUGGUACUGGUUGAUGGCUUGAAGUAGUGGAAGUAGAGGUAGGGCCAUCAACUCUCAUAGUCGAAGUAGAAGGUACAGGUGCAACAGCUGGAGCUCGGUCAAUCUCAUCAUCAUCUUCCUCACCACCAUCGACACGCUCUUCCUCUUCCUCAAAUAUGCUUUGCCCCAUUUCAUGUUCACCUGCAACUUCAAAGACAAGAGUUGUGCAAGGCAUAGUUUCAUCGAAUGUAAUCUCACAAGUUUCCACGAUCCGGUUAGUUUCAAGGUUAAGCACACGAUAAGCACGACUAUGAGAAGCAUAACCAAGAAAAAUCCCAUCCGUAGAACGAGACUCAAAUUUAUCCAAAUUUCCUUGCUUGAGAAUGAAACACUUGCAGCCAAACAUCCUCAGGUGACUCACUUUGGGGGAACGUCGAUGCAUCAGCUCAUAAGAAGUUUUCUUCAGGAAAGCUCACAAAAAGAUUCGAUUGGACACAUAGCAAGCAGUGUUGACGGCUUCGACCCAAUAUUUUCUGGAGUCCUAUGCUCAUCAAGCAUUGUCCUAGCCACUUCACAAAGGGUCCGAUUCUUCCGUUCAACAACAACAUUCUAAGGAGGGAUAUAAGGCGAUGAAAACUGGUGUUCAAGACCAAGAUCAUUGCAAAAGGCUUUAAAACGAGCGUUCUUGAACUCUGUGCCAUUGUCACUGCGGAUAGAUCUCAUGGCAUCUUUUGGUCGCUCGUUUCUCAACCUCAAGAUCAAAUCUCGAACAAAAGAAAAUGCCUCAUCCUUAGAUUCCAUGAAGAAAACCCAUGAAUAGCUCGAAAAAUCAUCAACGAUCACAAACACAUACCACUUCUCACCGAUUGAACAAACACGAGCUGGACCAACAGUGUCCAUAUGCAACAGCUCGCCUGGAUGUUCAGUCAUCACCCGAUUCACAGGUGGAUGGGAAGGAGCAACCAUCUUCCCAUGUCGACAGGGAGCACAAACAAGAUCUUUGUCAAACUUUAAUUUGGGCAAACCACGAAUAAAAUUCAAAGUACUCAAGCGGGAAAGCAAAUCAAAGCUCAAAUGACCCAAUCUCCUAUGCCAUUUUCAAAGUUCAGAAGAUGAGCCAGCCACUAAACACCGAGAGAGACCAAAUGACUUGGAAAAAUCAACUUGAAACACUUGACCCUCGGGGACGAUCAUACACACAAGAUCGCCUCGAGAGUCUAAAGUCCUUGAGGUCCCUUGUUUAAAACGGACCUCAAAACCAUCAUCAAGCAGUUGCAACACAGAGAGAAAAUUGAAACCAAGAGAAUCAACAAGAGCAACUCGCUUGAGCAUGAAAUUCUCACUCACCUUGAUAACACCUUCAGACAACACUUUACCUUUGCUAUUAUCCCCGAAAGUGAUAUACUCCUUGAUCAUCACCGGGGUGAGGCUGGAGAACCAUAUGUGAUCACCGGUCAUGUGUCGAGAGCAACCAGAAUUAAUAAGCCACGUGUUCUCCAGGCCUCCGACCUACUCAAACAAAGGGAGACCAAGGAUGAGCAAAUGACUCAACACUGGGGUUAGAAAAACAAGUAGAAUACCAGUGUUGAACCAUUUGCUCAAGAGUGGGGUUAGCAAAAUCAACCAUCUCUCGUCUCACAGGAGGACUACGACCAACGCUAGGGGGAAAACAUGGUCCGUUGUAGCUUCGAGACUCAAAGCCACGACCAUAUUGUCCUGGGCCAUAUUGAUCAUGGCGAGGAGCAUGCCUAGUAAAAACACGCGAAGGAGCAAAACACACACUAUCCACACAACGAGGUGGAGGAGUUGCUCUAGGCGUAUGUACACCAUGAGAAGGGUGGUACAUGUCCCUGUUGCCCCACUAACGCUCACGCCUCAAAGCUUUCUUCUUGCAAAAGCAAAACUGCUCAAGGUGACCCCAUCUCUUGCAAUACUCACAGUGGAAUCUAGCAGACUGUUUUGGCUGAGGAUUCACUCUAGGUUGUGGCUUGUCUUGGGGUUUUGGUGGAGGUUUCUUAGGAGCAAUUUCUGGAAGUGUGUCAAGUUUGUUCUUGAGGUGGUUUGGCUUUUCCACCCAAAUGGCUUUCUUGGGUGCUUUAGGUGGUGUCUCAAUGAAAAUUCCAUCUCUCACACAAUUAGACAAGUUUUGCUCACAAGCUGGAUUGGGUUGCUCUCUAUUUUUAGUGGGUGACUCUCGAGGGGUGUAGUCAAUUGGUGGUUCACACUGAUUGUAGUUUGAUUUCUUUCUCUCACCACUAUUUUGACCCACCUUCUCACACAACCCAUCAAAGAACUUGUGCAACCCAUUAAAAAGACAUCCCUUUAUAACCGACCCAAGCCCAAAACCAUCAGCCCUUUUGAACUCCUGAAUCAUCAUGCCUAGCUGAGGUUCCCUACUUGAUACCCAACUAAGAACAUUGCACAAGUAGGAGUUUUCAUCCUCAACAUAUUGCAAAUUAAGCUUGAGUUAAGGACAAACAAUGCAUUCAGGAAGUUUAGAUCUAGCAAUGAACUCAGACUUCUCUAAAGCACUAAGCUUAGCACAUGCAUCAUCCAACUGAAGUUGCAAAGCAGGGCAAGACUUACAUGCAUCAAGCAAAACAGGCCUAGUCUUGACCUCAUCUAAAGCAGCCCUAGUCAAAUCCAAUUCAUCUACCAACAAAGCAUGCUUAGAUUGUAAAGAUGCAAGACUAGCCAUAUGAACACCACAUUCAUCACACUCAACAACAUCAGAAACAGUAGGAGCAGAUUUAAGCAUAUCUAUCUCAAUCAAGGCACUUUCUAACUUAGCCUUAAGCUCAAUUCGCUCUUUAGCAGCCUUCUUAAGCAGUUUAUCUUGAUUGAUUAGGCAAUCAUUAAGUUCUUCUACUUCUAGAGCAAGUUGUUCAGGAGUAGGCUAUACCUCAGUUUCUGUGUCAGAGUCACUUUCCUUAUCAUCCUUCUUGGAGUUGAGAGCCAUGACAUAGUACCCGUCGUGGUUCUUGCUGGAGUAGAAGCAGAGGCUAUUGAAGUUCUUGCCGUUCUUCUUCUUUGCCUUGCAGUCGUCGUCCUCCUCGCUUGAGCUUGAGUCGGUGUGGUCGUUGGUGUCGGAGUCGACGUCGCUGAGGGAGGCGAUGAAGGCACGUGCUGUGGCCUUCUUGCGAUACUCCUUCUUCUCGCGGUCGGUGUACUUCUUCUUCUUCUUGGUGCCAUCCUUGUUCUUGUUCUUAUUGUAGUCGUACUUGCUCUUGGAUUUGUUCUUGUCGGGGCAGUCGGCGGCGAAGUGUCCUGGCUUCCCACAGUCAAAGCAGUUGUUGUUGUUCCUUUGCCUGUUCUUGUGGUUGUCGUUGAAGCGCAUGAAUCACCUUGUGAUCAAGGUGAGCUCAUCAUCAUCAAGAACCUCCAGCUGCUCCUCGGAAAUAGAAACCAAAGAAGACAAGGCAAACGACGUAGAAGAAGAGUUACUCAAAGACUUAGGCUGUCCAGAGCCUGACAUGAGAGCCAUACUAUUUGGAUCUUUAGGGCCUCCUUGUUUUGCUCGGAGCCUCUUGUCAACUUCCGUGGAUUUCAACUUGGUAAAGAGUUCAUCAGUGGAAAGUGUUUCAUAAUUGUGUGACUCGAUGAUAGCAUCAACCUUCGUACCCCACACUUCGUGAUCCAAGGCAUGCAGGAGCUUUAAAGAUCUAUCAUGAUCAGUGUAGGGUAAGAUGGUGAUAUUUGCUUUCAUCUUGUUCACAAUAGCCAAGAAACGUUGAAACAAAGCAUCGGCAGACUCACCAGGAAAAUGAACAAAGUUUUCAUACUCACGCCUAUAAGUCUCAAAGAGUCUAGCCUUCACCUGACUGUUUCCCUCAUGGAAAGUCUGAAGUCAAGACCAAAUCUCAUGAGCAAGAGAGAGAUCUUCGACUCGAUCGAACUCAGCACGACUCAGACUCGCAAACAGAAUAUCAACCGCCUUGCUGUUGGCGUGAUACUUAUCCCUUUCAUCCUGAGUCACAUGAGUAGCAGGAAUCACAUAAGUCACAUCCUGAGUGAUUUCCCAAACCUCUACUCCCCUACUAUUUAGAUGGGCUUUCAUGCGAGUUUUCCAAUACCGAUAAUCAGAGCCAUCAAAGUAGGGUGCAGCAGUCGAGGAAGAACGCUCAGAGGUCGCCAUAAUAGGUUUCAAAACUGAUUAGGGUAUGGAGAGACCUUAACCGGCUUUGAUACCAAUUAAAGGAUCGAGGGGCGACUAGAGGGGGAGUGAAUGGGAGCCUAUAAAAAUUCUCAACGAGAACUAGGCCUAUGUUCCAAAUGCAACCCAAAAGCACACCUCGCGUUUUAUCGUCAAGAUGACACAAGUCAACUCGUGACAAGCUCACCCUAGGAACGAUAAGAAAUGCUCAAUUCACAGCGGAAACAAAUCAUGAAUCGACUCCAUCAAAUUUGAGCAAAAGAGAUUAAGCAAGGACACUAUUGACCACUAGCAAACCUGACUUUGACUAAUCAUGCAACGAUUUAAUAAGGAUACUUAUCUAAAAAGCAAGGAUUAGAAAAAGAAAGUACCGAUUAAAUUGCUAAACAACCUAACAAUAAAUAACUAGCAGUUGCAUGGAAUUAACGGAACAAGAAAAAGCUUACAGUGCUAUCUGGUAGAAGAAAUUGGGCCUGCUGCUCCUUGUCUCCCUUGACCAGCCUGCUAGUUGCGUGCUUGGGCCAGGUUUGCUGUGUUGUCACCUCCUCGAUGUCGACGCAUGUCCGACCUCCGCCAAGCCUCCCGCUUGACUGGACUGACGUUGUCUCCAUCUUGUCAUGUUCUCCUGCCAUUUCGUGCACCAUGUGGACCACCCGUGACUCCGCCCGGACUCCUCGGGUCCAUCGAUCCAAGCCUACUCACGUUCAUCCUUCACCGCCCUUGGUCCAUCGGUAUGAACCUUUCGCUUGACCUUCACCACACACUGUCGACCGCCACGUCGCAUCCUACACCUGCACAUCACAAGCCAAGAGCAACAUCAAACCAACACAACGUUAUCAAUCACUCAUCAUCCAAGGGUGAGCACCAUUGAUCCUCAAAAGUAAAGCGGAAAAUGGAUAGGAAGUCAGGUAUCUGAGGAAGACUGAAUGAUUCAGUAAUCAACUGACGGGUACUAAGCAGUUUUUCUAGGAUUAAGGUAACCUAUUGCUUCAGGCAAUCAUGCAUAAAAUUAAGUAACCACAAAGCUUGAUAGUUUUUUACUAUUACGUUAUGCAAGAACUGCUGGUUGCCAUCUAACAUGCGGACAAGUCAUUUGCUCAAGUUUCAAAUUUCUCAUGCAAUAAUAAAGACAGAUUAAUAAAGUUGGAAAUAUGCCAGCAGAGGUCUGGCCAAAUGAAGGCACAUUGGUUCACAAAUUAACUGCCUUGCAUCAUCUGUUUUAGGUCAAUUUCUCUCUAAUUAGACUAAAAAUAUUGUAGUCAUUUUACAAAAGGAACUAUGACAGGAUAGACAGAUCACUUUUACAGAUUUUUCUCUGCUAAUUUGGGAGACUGAACAGCAAUAAGUAAAAAUUCACAAUUUACCUUUGUUUCAACAUUUGCAAGCCUUGCAUCCAUAGCACCAACUUUCUUGGUGAGUCCCUUCUGCUUUUCAGUCACCUUUUUAUCACCGCUCUUUGGUUCAAGGUGAACAUGGAAAAUUCCUGUGCUUAGACCAAGAACAUAGCACCCAAAGAUGCCAUAGAGUGCAAAGGCCAGAUUGUGAUGGAAGUGGGUCCCAGAUUUGAGCUUGCUAACGUCCCUUUUCCAGCAAGCAAAACUUAAGAUCCUGUAUAGUCAUGCCCUAUCCAAAGCAAAACUUAUUACAUAAUGUAUAUAAUGUAUAUAAUGUAUAUAAAAGUGUACGUUUAAAUAAGAUAUAGUAUUUAUAGUUACGUGAAAAAAUGGAUCAUGGACUACCUCAGUCCGAGGUGACUUCAAGAGCUGCGAAAGCUCCUUAGCCGAGGUUGAUCUCUUCCAGGCAUAGGCAUAGUUGGCAGUGCAAAUUGGUUUGUCUUCCCAUACUUGGGCAGAGGCAACUACGGCUCCUUCCCCUUUCCAGAUCUCCUCUUAGCUUUAGCACCCCUAGAAGUAGAAGCUUUUUUUCCCAUCUUGGAUGUCACGAGCUGCUUCACGCGCAUACACUCAGGGGCUCACAGGAGGGAGGUGGCGGCGGCGAUCUCAAAUUGAUUUGCAGCGGCGUUGGAUAGUAGGGUUUUUUCUCAAGCACAAAUAGCAGAUGGCAAUGGUGGAGUAAACGGGGGAUAACUUCCCUUGUGUAUUUAUAACAGAAGCAGAGUAAACGGAGGUAAUGGUCCCGACGUUUUUACCUCUGGCUGUUAAUUUCGCAUAUGUCCGUCAGUUCUUGAAGUUACCGCAAAAGAUAAGGUUACUGUUGGCGACAAUCACGAUGACUGGUGCUUGACCCUUAUACCUCCUGAAAUUAGUCAGGUAACGGCUCGAGGGCUGUGUGCCACGUGCCCGUCGGCUAAAAAGGUUUUUUCUCCGAAGUUUAAGGUGAAAAUAGUGCAAAUGCAGAUUGAUCCUCAGCCUGAUUCUUCGAUUCAACAUAAGGGUCAGGGGAUACUUCAUAUGGAGUGCGAUUUUCAUCACACUUCUAUAUAUAAAUUCAAGGACAGAUAUUCAAAAUAGCGUCAGAUGAGGCUUGAGCACAUUCUAGCAGCAUGGCAGUACUCGAGUUACUUGAAGGUUCAACUUCGAUAGAGUACUCAAAAGAGCACCAAGAACUAGUCGGAUGAAGCCUGAAAAGGUACUCGGGACUGCUACAUUUGACUAAAACAUACUUGGGGGCUUGUCGUAUAUACAUCAAUGGGCCCACCAGAAGGUUUGGACAGACCCAUAUAUAGGGUUGUGCACCGAGAUGUGUCAGACAUGAAGACUACGGUGCAGGACGACGUAGUCUACGUGGAGGACAGGAGCUAGUCGAGGACCCGGAAACUACUUAUAGCAGUCAGAGUAGGACUCUCUGGUUGAAUCCAACUAGUAUCCUUGUAAAAUAACCGACCUGUAACCCUACUCCGAUAUAUAAGGACGGGUAGAAACCCCCUCCAGAAGAGUUCAAUUGAAUAUAAAAAAUAACACACAGGACGUAGGGUAUUACGCGAUCUAGCGGUCCGAACCUGUAAUAAUCGCGUGCCUACGUACACCAUCAAGUUCCUAAUUUCGACGAUACCCACCAACCAAAACUCUACCUCAGGUAUUCCUCUUUGUAGGUUGUCGGGUUUAAACACCGACAGUAACUAUGCACUCUGACCUACAAGCCUAUUAUUCUCAAGGUCAUUGUUUUACUUGACAAGUGGCAGUCGGAUAUGUGUCUCUGUUUUUUUCUCUAGCACUAGUAUUGCUGCAUUUGGACACAGAAGAUGAGAACAUGACAACGAAAUCAACUGUAUCACAGGUGCUGCGAUGAGAUGAAUUAACAUACAGAUGGAUGUGUUUGUUGAAACAAUUUUUUUAGAAAAAAAAGAGAUCAAGCUUUUUCAGCUUAUGGAAUACUCUAGUAGUAAGCUGGGAAGUUAAUUUUGAGAGUUUUAGGCCCUGUUUGGCAUGGCUCCAAUUCCGGGUGGAGCUGCUCCACUCCAGAACUCCACAUGGAGCCAGCUCCACUCCAAAACUUCAGAACAAAAAUGGGGUGUUUGGCUAGAUGGGUGCUCUCAGCUCCAAAAAAGAUCGAUUUCAGUGUGGAUUGUUACUAUUGCCCCCCAAUUAAGGUCCCACUUGUCAUCCUCUCUAUCCCAUCUUCUUCUUCCCCUUUUUCCACUGCACUGUGCCGCACACGGGAGACCCUCCACGGGCGGCGGGGUGGGUGGUGGGCUGGGCAGCGGGCGGCGGGGUGGGCGGCGACAGGGGCGGCGCAGGGCAGCGACGGGCGCAGCGGGCAGCGACGGGCGCGGCGGGCGGCGACGGGCGGCAGGCCGGCCGGCCACGGGGGCGGCGACGGGCGGCGGGCGGCGACGGGCGUCGCCGGGCGGCGGGGCGGCGACGGGCGACGCCGGGCAGCGAUGGGCGGCGGGGCCGGCCGGCCAUGGGGGCGGCGACGGGCGGGGCUCUAGCGGCGAGUGGGGCUCGGGAGAAUAGAAGGGAGAAUAGAAUGAAACAUUUUUUUGUGUAACCAGUGGCAUUGGUGGGUAAUUACCCACCAACUCCACGAGGAGGUUCAAAAGAGAGGUUUCUGGAGUAGCAAAAGAGGUGCUCCAAAACUCCACCUCCAUUUGCACUACAGCUCCAUGGAGUUGGCAACUCCAUGGAGUUUUGGAGUUGGGGUGUUUGGCUGAAAUUUUUGAUGGAGUUGCUGGAGUUUAGGAGUGAAGCCGUGCCAAACAGGGCCUUAAGAGCCUUUAACUCUACCAAUUUCACCAGCUCAUGGGCUGAUAUGGGCGUGGGCCGAUAUGGGCCUCGCCAACAUCAUCUCUUGAGCCGACCGAACGAAAGUAUAUAAAACCCCACCACCACUCCUGAAAUCACUCGUGGAACCCAAGUAGCGUAAACCACUCACUCACCAAUGGCGGCGGUGGCGAGGGAUGUUAGAGUGCUUGCGAGAUUCCCUAGGGCGAUGUCUGUCGCUCGUGCUCCUACCAGGAGAUUGACUUCGGGCGCUGGUGCUGAUGAAUGGAGGAAGGCCAACCAGCUGCCCGAGGAGCUUGUGCUGCUUGUUGAGAAAACUCCCACAGAAGUACGUCUCAGGUUGAAUUGGUUGAUGCUGGCACUCGUGAGUACAAAUUAUUAGAACGGCUCCUUGUAGAUCUUGUUAACACCGAAUUAUCGGACUUCUAUAGUUAGUUUCGGAACAUGAAACAUGCAUACUUCGAAACUGGGAGGCCUGUGUUAACACCAAAAUUUGGAAAUAUGCUCUAAAAGGAAGGAAUCGGCCGAUGAUGCAGAAAAUGACGAAAUCUCCUAAAUAAGGCUGAAGAAAAAGAAAGCAAGAAAAGGAAAUCAACGCACACGGCAAGAGUUGAAUAAAAUAUUUUGUAGAUAGAGUUGGUUAGGGAUAAGUUUGAUUAGAGAUAGAGUUGGAUUAGUUAGAGAUAGAGUUUUGAUUAAAAAAGAUUGCAUACGUGACUUGCCUUGUACGUGAUUGGAGCCUUGCCAUGUAACAUCGCCAUCCGUCCUAUAAAUAUAAAGGGUCGUGGCCAUUGUCAAGGGCCAUUGUCAAAUGAAUCACACGAUCAAUAAACAAACAUAUUUACCUUUACCUUUCGGCUUCACGCCAUUGCAUUAGGAGUAGGAGUAAUGUAGCUUCUCAACGAGUUCCUUCUAGCAAGCUAGGCUGCAUCGACCUCGAUCUCUAGCAAGCUGCAAGUCCCCGUCAUCAGGUGUACUAGACUUCAAUUUCCGAGCGCAUCGCUGUCGUUGGGUCUGGUUUCAUCUACCAGUUAUCGAGUAUCUUGGAUCUUUGACUUACGGCGCAUUGCUUCUGUAUCGAUCUACGGUAUUCACCAGUUAUCCUACCUUGAUUAAGCUUGCAUCCGCUGAUAUUUACCUGUUCUAUCGUCUUGUCGUUUCGUUUGCUUUAAUUAGCUUUAGAUCAGCUCAUCAUAGAUGAUAGAUCGCUUGAUAGUUUGUUGCAUCUUAAUCCUGGCUACCCUUCGAUUGCUGUUGGAAUUAAGUUCCAUUGUGAUUAGAUUCAUGGGCUGGCGGGGUCUGGAUUGACGUCCUGCUGAGUGUUUCUAGGUUGCAACUACUGGGCGCAUCGCUGUGGUUUCAUCUAGGAAUAUUGGUGGUGACAUUAUUUUAGAUCUCAUCGGUUUGUGGCUCUAGCUAUGGUGGAGCGAGAACUCGAUGACGCUCUGUCUCCUAUCAGCUGUCUACCCGAUGGUCAUUGUGAAGUUAUGUUGAAUCAGCUUGAAUAGCCGAUGAGCCAUUUGCAUUCAUCAGGAGGUUGGAAUCGGCUUCAUGGAUGAUAUUUUGUUUAUCAUGAUUUAUUUUACUACACCAUUAUCGCUACUGGUGCUCGGAUCACAUCGGCAUGAUCAGCCAGUUGCCUCGAACUUCGAAAGGAUCAUCUUCCUCUUGUCAAUUGAAUGGUCAAAGCACGCCCACACCACACGCGUCGAUUUGAAUUCUGCACUGGAGUUAAGCAAAUCUCCCAACUUGGUGUCAACAGAUCUAAGUGCGAAUCAAUUGAUCUAUUUCACAGUUUGGCUAUAUAUGAUCCUGGUUUGUAGUGGUGACAGUGUAAUAUCUGUUUGAAUCUUAGAUUGAGUUCCUUGGUGCUUGUAUUCGUGUGGACGAAUUUGUAUAACUACUCGCAGAUCCGAGUAUGAAUCAAUUGCGAGAUCCAUUUUGUAAUUUGGUAAUUGCUGUGGAUAUGAUCCCGUAUUUGUAGUAGUGUGACAAUGUAACAUCUUUUUGAAGUGUUAACACUUAACUAAUGGCAUGGCAUACUGAUUAUUUAAACCUAGCCUUUAAUUCAGCUUGUCUAUGUUAGAUGUUGUUAAACUGACAAUGUAAUUGUUGUAAUGUGCUCCUACUGUAUAGGUUAGAUCCUAGAUUCUAGCCUUGACCGAGAUGUACAUGUAUUUAACCACCUCUGCUCAUGAAUGAAUCUGUGUUGGAUCAAACUCUUUCUACAGAACUAUUUAAGAGCUACUUGAUGCAUUUGCUUUUGUUAGUUGAUUUAUCAGCACAUCCCCUAGGUUCGUUUCUGUUGGAAAUUUUGUGUUGGAAUCUCCAAUCUGCCUUGAAAGUUAAACUGUUUGUUUAUUUUGAUAGAGAAUUGAUCCAUAAUGUUCCAUUUGUCCCUAUAACAAGAAUCAUUUGGCAUGGUAGAUUAAUUCGAUAAUUUCAUUGGCGGACUUCAUGGCUGCUUUAUUAUGCUGAUGUUUCACUGCAAUUGUGUUUCAUGUUUUAGCACAAUAAUUUCUGAAUAUUUACUGAUUUAGGUAUGCUCUAGUAUGCUUAUGUUUUACUGCAACUGUAUGCUCAUGUUUUGCUGCAACUGUAUGCAAGUUUAUUGCAACAAUUACCAACAGUUUACUUGUUUAGUCUACUCUAUUAUGUUCACGUAAUUCUGCAACUGUAUUAGGUUGUUUUGCUCAUGUUUUGCUGCAACUGUAUGUAAGUUCACUGUAUGCUCGUUGUUGACUGUAUUAGGCUGAGUUGAUAAAGGUCCAUGAAAUCGGCCAAGGAGCUUUCGCAUCUCUUGAAAUAACCUAUGACUGAGGUCGUCCAUGAUCCAUUUUCGCAUCUUAUUGUUGUUCAGUCUCACUUUGUAAGUGCUGUUAAUUUGGAAUAAAUAAAAAAAUACCUCAUGGAGGAAGUGGCUCAAGUCCUUCGGAUCAAGCUCUGCAUGAAUUUUUGACUCGGAAUGCCCUGUUUUUUUCACUUCUCCAGUUGUGUUAAAGCCUAUGGAUAAUGCUGAAGUCCUGAACCAGCUACGCAUUACUUCCGACCCUUAGUGCCCUGUGGAGGUUUUCUUUUCUUUGUGGUUUGUUUAAACUCUUGAAUGGUAUGCAAAACUAUGGAACGUAUCUAAAAUGCUGUUUUCUAGAAUGAUUUUCAUAAACUUGUAAAGUUUGGUCUUAGAUAAGUUUAAACUGGAGGUUUAUUUUUUUGGUUCGGUUUAAACUCAUGGAUGGUAUGCAGAUGUAUGAAGUGCAUCUUAAAUGCUGCUGGAUGUUAAGUUUAAACUGGAAUGAAAUGGAACAUGGUGUGGCUCAAUUCGUAGCAAAUGGUUCAUUACACGAGUAAUCAUUCCAGUGUGGGCCAAAUCACCAAUUGUAGCGCAAGCAGGAAUGUUCGCAACUGCUUGAAAACAUACUCUCAUCAUUGGCUGUUUUCACUAUUUACAUGAGUUGAUCUAGGCAUACGUAGAAGUCAUCCAGGUAGAAACGUUGUCUAGACGAGUAGAUCCGGCUAGUAGGCCCUUUUAAACUUCCAACCAAUGGUUCAACCAGCAUCCUUCAUCCAUGACCGGCAGCAUCAAUUUUCUGCGGUACGAAAAACACUUGCGGUACUGAUCCAGUAUUUAGCUUCACCGGGAAGCAAGACUACCAUGUUCUUCUGAACCUUCUUUUUUUAUGUCUUCUGAACCUGCAUCACUGCAUGAGACUAAAAAUAAAAAGCAAGUUCCAUGGAACCUCCGUGAAAGUAAAGAAAUAAUAAAUUCUACAGAAUGCCGUUUACGAGACGUCUUCUCUAACUUGUCUAGUCAAUCUAGCAGGUAGAACACAAGACAUAAGAGAAAUGAUGAGGUUACUCUCGCACAUUCAACAGCUUUGUUAAUCUAUAGUUCUAUAUGAGAGUAGAAAAGAUUCGUCAUCCUUGGCAAAAACCAGAUUCAGAAGUCUGGAAGAACUCAACAUUACUAUGCCGUCUUGUGGGCUGACCAAGUGAUCAACACCCAGCUUUCUAGUGCUUGAUAACCAGAUGUUGUUUCAACACUAGAAAAUGUAACAAUCACUUAAUGUUAGAAAAACAAUCAUAUAUUCAUGUGCAGCUGAAAGCUUGGCAGCUCAGCUACUGAAAUUAAAUAUUUCUGUAAUAAAAAAUACAUCUUUUUUAAGUCAAAGGAGACAAGAAACAAAAUAGAUAUAUCACUGGAAAAAUAUUUGCAUGUAGAACUGUUUACAUUGCUAUUCCUAUUCAUACUCAAAUAAAAGGGAAAAGAAAAGCAUCCCUGAGAGUUUAUUCGAAGUGAUCUGUUUUAGAUAAUGGUUGACUAACUUAUAAUUGUGUAAACUGAAAAUGCUGCUAAUGCGACCAAAUUAGGAUAAAAACGUGGUAUAUUGAGAGAAGGAAAAAUAAUGAUCAAAACCAUUAGAGUUGCCUAGCUGUGCAUUGCAAUUCGAGUAUAUAAGAAUGGUUUCAGUUAUUCUUCCCUGUGUUUCUUUCCAAUUUGCAUAGCAUCAUACCGUGCUAAUAGCUAAUAAUGUAAAUUCACAAUAUCAAUAUGGCUAUCGAUUUACUACACGUUUCUAAUGCUGCACUAAAGGUGCUUGCCAUCCAGUGGUCUAGCACAAAAGAAUUGUAAUUAACAGGUAGGCCAGUCAAAUGUAUUUACAUAUUCUGCCCUCAAAAAUAAUGGAGAGCAACAGUUAGAAAAUCAGUUCAAAGGAUUGGUUUAACAAAUUUGCAGUCACAAAGCUUGCUCUCAGAUGGAUCCUUCCACCAUGAUAAGUUGCCAGGUAUAUACAUUGUGCCGUUUGAUUUUUGUUCGGGCAUGGGAAUUUUUAGAUCAGUCCUAGCAUGUCCUACGACCAAGAGAAAGGUAGGAGAGAUGGGCUUGAAGCAGCAACAUGAUAAAAUUAAUAUGGAUAAAAUUCGAAAAAACAUGGGCAAAGCUUUGUUCCUAUAAACAGCUGUUAGGAAGUAUAUAUGUGUAUUAUGAAGUAUUUAUUCUUUCCAUGUAUACUUUGUAUUUCUUGUACCCAAGACAUAUUGACUAUAUAAUAGAGGUCAAACCCCCCCCCCCAUUAGGGUGUGUGGUGUUUCCUCAUCUAAUUCUCUACAUAGUAUCACAAGACCGGAAUCAAUCUAAUAUGGGACUCUCCUUCUGCUCCACUCCUCCUCCCCAGCGCACCUAGAACCCUAGGCGCCCACCUGCAUGGCGGUGCUCCCUCCCCUCCUUGCACUAGCGCAACCCCCCUUCCUCCCAUGGCCACCCACUCCACCGCUGACUCCUCCCUGUCCGGCGGCAACCUCCUUAUCUCCGGCAAUGCCACCGCCCCUCCUAGCGGCUCUGGCGCCCCUGCACCACCUCCUGGUCCGCUUCCUGGCGCCGGCACCUCUCCUGGUGGCGGCCUGCCUCUCAUUCAUACGCCGCUGCCCGUCGUCCACACCUACGUCACCGUCUCCGUCAAGUCUCACGUCCCCAUGACGUUGACGAUGAAGUCCUCCACCUACUCCAAGUGGGUGUCCUUCUUCAAGUCUAUGUGCGGCAAGUUCAGCCUCAAGUUGCACAUCGACGGCACGGUGGCGCCUUGUCCCCAAGACCCCAACUGGGAUCAAGCGGAUUGCUGCGUCCACUCCUGGUUCUUUAGUUCUGUCGAUGACUCCGUCCUCGACCUCACCAUGACCGACGACGACCAGACCGCCCAGGAUCUCUGGCUUGCCAUCGAGGGACUCUUUUGCGCCAACAAGCAGUCCCAGGUGAUCUUCCUCAGCCACGACUUCCACUCCAUGACGUAGGGCGACUCCUCCAUCGCCGAGUACUGUCAGCGCAUGAAGACCCUCGCCAACGCCCUCCGCGACGUCGACCAUCCCAUUCAGGACACCCAGCUUGUCCUGAAUCUCCUCCGCGGCCUCAACCCGCGCUACUCCAAAACCGCCGACAACAUAACCAACUCCACCACCGGCUUCCCCAGCUUCGCCCAGGGCCGCGACAUGCUGACCUUGAAGGAGCUUCGCCUCGCCAACGAGGCAAAGGUCUCCACCUCCACCGUCCUCCUCGCUGCGACCGGCUCGACGCCUUCCUCCUCUACCUAUUCGGGCGGGUGCCGCUCCUCCUCUGGCUCAGUCCAGGGCAACAGCGGCGGCGGCACCUUCAACCAAAAGAAGGGUGGCGGUAGCGGUGGUGGCGGCAAGAAGAAGUGGAAUGGGAAGCGCAGUGGCGGCCGGUUCCAGCAGCCUACUUAUGGUGGACAGCAGGCCGACCAGCCACGCCCCUCCGGUCCGUGGUUCUGCUUCAGUCCAAGGAUUGGACCCUAUGGCGCAAAGCAGCAGGCCGGCGGCUAUGGAUCCGAUGGCGUGGGCGGCUAGCAUGCCUCUGCCCCCGGACUCCUAGACCCACCACCCUAGGUGCACACGGCGUACACUCCUCUCCAUGCGCCUGUCCAGGCACCCUCGGCGGCUCCGAUGUGGGAUCAAGCCGAUCUGGUUGAUGCCCUCAACCAGAUGGCCCUGCACAAUGGCGGUUGGGUGGUCAACUCCAAUGCCUCCGGCCACGUGGCUUCGUUUGAUGGUAUACUCCAAUCUCACCUACCUCCCUCUCAUUCUUUCAUUACCGUAGGCAACGGUUAAACUCUUCCUAUUAUGUGCCGUGGCAACUCCACCCUCUCUACCCCCACUUCAUAGUUCCACCUAAAUAAUGUCCUCAUUGCUCCCUCUUUAGUCUGUAACCUAAUUUCUGUUCGUUAGUUUACUAGGGACAAUAAUCACACUAUAAAAUUUGACGUUCUUGGUUUUUCUAUCAAGGACAUCCAGACUAGAUGUGUGAUUCUUCGGUGCAAUAGUGCUGGCGAUCUUUACACCAUCCCACCUGCCGCCAGCUCAGCAGCUCCCCACGCCGACCUCGCCACCUCCUCCAGCUUGUGGCAUCUUCGUCUUGGUCAUUCAGGUCCCGCCGCCAUCGACACUCUUAGACUUCAUUCCUCCAUAGCUUGUAAUAAAGGGACACAUACUUUAUGUCAUUCGUGUCCAUAUACUUCUCCACAUAACGGGGAAGCUGAAUGUGUUAUCCACACUCUUAAUAAUGUGACUCGCACCUUGCUGAUUCACUCAUCUAUGGACGCCUCAUAUUGAGCUGAGGCGCUCGCCAUCGCCACCUAUCUUCUGAACAGGCGCCCUUGCUCCGUCGUCCAGAACGAUAUUCCCUACCGCCUCCUAUAUUCCCAGCCUCCCGAGUACUCUCACUUGCGUAUAUUCGGUUGUCUUUGCUAGCCUAACCUUUCAGCCACGGCACGCCACAAACUUGCUCCUCGCUCCACAGCCUAUGUCUUCCUUGGUAAUCCCUCUUCUCACAAGGGGUACCGCUGCCUUGACUUGUCCACCCGUCGAGUCAUUAUUUCUCGUCAUGUUAUCUUCGAUGAGCCUGUUUUUCCCUUCUCCUCCCACCCCACCCCCUUGUCACAGCUCGACUUCCUCUUGUAAGUCGACUAUAUUGUUGCUUGAAACUAUUCAAGUUAUUGUAACCAUUGGAUGGGUUGGUCACAGAAUAAACUAUUCUAUGGCCAUACGUGGAGUAUACUAUAUAUAUAGUUUUUCCUAUAUAUCCAAACAUAACGCAUAUCCGGUCAAAACGAUCAACAAAUUGUAACUGGUGAAGUACUUAUCUGCCGAUGCCCAGCCGAAACUAGUAAAUUUACAGUAACUCUCACCUUGGGAUACAAGUAGGAAACGUCUAUUCUCCCCUCGGUCGUCAGCUCGCUUUCAUGCCCAGCGCCUCUUGUUUGCUCAUGUGAGCUAAAGUGCAGCUGAUGAGCGUGUAGUGUUUCUGACCAUCGUCAACCACGUGUCCAUGAAGAAUGCAUGUAUCGGACAGGAGCCUGUGGUUCACAGUUUCACACCGGUGAGUGUGGCACCAGCGCCUACCGCGGGGCAGAAUUCGUCUACGAGAAAACGACCUCUGAUUUGGCUUUUGAGUUGGUCGUUGAUGACGGCAGCGAUCGGUGUUUCCGAUCUUGGAAACGACCUCUGACUCGUUCGCGAUGCGUUCUCGAGUUCAGCUGGCUCGUCACCUUCAGAUACGGGCAGGAAACCUUCACAGCAUGUGGCAUCUCGAUCGGGAGGUAGCCUCCGGACCAGCACGAAAUGGCUGACCUGCAGACUGCAGUAGUGUUUUUUUUUCUUUUCAUGAAAUAUCGAAGGUAACUGUAUUUCCUGCAGUAGGCGGUGUCCGUGAGAGCCAAACGGCGAUCACCGCAGAACGAACUCGUCUACGAGAAAGAUAAUAAGGUGUUGUUUGAUCCUGGAGCUUCAUGUCAUAUCAAAUAUUCGGAAGCUAAUUAGGAGUCAUAUCAAAUAUUCGGAAGCUAAUUAGGAGAAUUAAUAUGAGUUAAUUAUAAAAUUAAUUAUACAGAUGGAGGCUAAACGGUGAGAUAAAUCUAUUAAGCCUAAUUAAUCCAUCAUUAGCAAAUGGUUAUUGCAGCGGCAUAUUAUCAAAUCAUGGACUAAUUAGGUUUAAUAGAUUCAUCUUGCCGUUUAGCCUCCAUCUGUGCAAUAAGUUUUGUAAAUAGUUUAUGUUUAAUACUCCUAAUUAAUAUCUAAACAUUUGAUGUGAUAGGAACUAAGUUUAGCCCGGGAAACACCCAUACGACUCCGAUAUUCACAAGCGGCAGCAGGCGAGGUCGCACAAGCGUCUCCGUCGUGCUUCCGUGUUGUGUUUCUGUUACCUUGCUGCAGUAGCAGCAUGUAUUACACCACGGGAAACAAGAAAUUCGCCGAGUGCCAGGGGCACUCGGCGAGCCGUUUGCCGGCAAACUUUGUGACGGCAAACAAGGAUUUGCCGAGUGUUUUCUGUCGCGCACUCGGUAAAGACUUUGCCGAGUGGCCAGAAAACACUCGGCAUACAAUUGUUGAAAAAAAUAAAAAAAAAUCUGUUCCGGCCGCCGGCCGCCGCCGCCAGCCACCACCGCCAACACCGCCACCGGCCGCCGCCGCCACCAUCCACACCCAGCCACCCGCCGCCAGCAGCACCACCACCGCCAGCCGGGAGGGGAAGGGCCGGAGGAGANNNNNNNNNNNNNNNNNNNNNNNNNNNNNNNNNNNNNNNNNNNNNNNNNNNNNNNNNNNNNNNNNNNNNNNNNNNNNNNNNNNNNNNNNNNNNNNNNNNNACUAUAUAUAGCAAACGUAGAAAACGGAUUAAGUUCUGCAAGUUAUUUUGUUUGAGAAAUCAUCAAAUUCAAGUCAUUAUAGGGUCUAGCCGCGUUUAGGUGCAAAUCUAUCUUGACGACUCCUGGUCGUGGAGGUUCAUGACAGACACUCCUGGAGUAUGGCCAUAGUAUGCGCCAAAACUUUUGCUCGGUUGUAUACGUUUUCCAAAGUUGAGCCCUCCCUUUUUUUUCCUUUAUAUAGGGGGUGUUUGAUACAAGUACUAAACUUUAGAAGGGUCACAUCGGAUGUUCGGACGCUAAUUAGGAGGACUAAACAUGAGCUAAUUAUAAAACUAACUGCAAAACCUCUAUACUAAUUCGCGAGACGAAUCUAUUAAGCCUAAUUAAUCCAUCAUUAGCAAUAGUUAUUGUAGCACCACAUUGUCAAAUUAUGGACUAAUUAGGCUUAAUAGAUUCGCCUCGCAAAUUAGACUCCAUCUGUUCAAUUAGUUUUGUAAUUAGAUUAUAUUUAAUACUUUUAAUUAGUAUCUAAACAUCCGAUGUGACAUGUCCCGACGUCGGAUCCAAUAGUCAGGAGACUGGCUGUUGGGAUGGUGACGACAGAGAUCGGCGCCUCCGAUCUUGAAAACGACCUCUGACUCGUUCGCGACGCGUCCUCCAGUUCUUGCCCGUCAAGCACUCAACAGCCAACAGUCAACAGUUGGCAGCGGCACCGACUGCUGUGCUGAGUACAUCCAAUCCAAAACCCCAGAGCAGCGUGCGUAUCUGCCAACGCCUAACUGAAGGAAGCCUGAAUUUGGGAGGUGCCAAAUUACUGUAGCAACACUGUAGCGUUUCGUUUGUAUUUGUGAAUUAUUGUCCAAAUAUUGACUAAUUAGGCUUAAAAGAUUCGUCUCGCAAAGUACAACAAAACUGUGCAAUUAGUUUUUGAUUUCGUCUACAUUUAGUACUCCAUACAUGUACCGCAAGUUUGAUGUGAUGGGGAAUCUUCUUUUUGCAUAGUGCCAAAGUUAGAAGUUUUGUGGGAAGUGAAAAGGGCGAAGUAAAACUUGAAGACUGCAGCGACACUCGCCUUUCAGAUGCAAGUUGGGAACUGUCCAUCUCGUCCCUCAGUCAUCUGCUCGUCUUCAACCCAACAACCCCUCUUGCUCAUGUGAGCUUCCCGAAUUGCUACGCUACACUAGCUCCCUCCCUCAUGCUCCAUGCCUCCCUCAACCUUCCUCUGCCUGCUGCUGGCCGCCGCGCCCCUACUCGCGCCGGCCGGCCGCGUCCACGCGCAGGGCGGCUUCUUCCCCACGCCGGCAUCCACUAAAGUGUCCACCAGCUGGACCAUCAGCCUGAAGGCGGACGGCCAUGGCGCGCAGCAGCACUUCGGCUACAUGGACGGCAUGUCGGUGAGCGUCUUCCUCCUCCAGUCCGUCCACGGUCCGACGCAGGAAGGCCUCUGCUUCGCCGCGUGCUUCUACUGCACCGACCCAUGCACAGAUUUCUACUUCGGCGUCUGCAUCCUCCAAGUCGACAGCAGCGGUUUCCUCAGCUGGCCGAACGCCGGCACCCUGCAGGUCGUCUGGUCCGCGAACCGGGACCGCGCCGUCCGUGAGAACGCCACCCUCAGCUUCACGGCCAGCGGCGACCUCCUGCUCCGGGACACCCAUGGGAGCUUCGUCUGGUCCACGAACACCUCAAACCAGUCCGUUGCCGGUAUGACCGUCACCAAGUCCGGCAACCUGGUGCUCUUCGACGGCAAGAACUUGCCGGUGUGGCAGUCCUUCAGCCACCCGACAGAUUGCCUGCUCCCGGGCCAGCAAUUGGUGGAGGGGAUGAGGUUAACGCCGAAUGCCUCCGCCACCAACUGGACGAGCAACAGUCAGCUGUAUGUUACUGUCCGUGCUGAUGGUUUAUAUGCAUUGGUUGAAUCUUCGCCUCCUCAACUUUACUACCAAAAGACGGUGCCCAAAUCCGGAAACAGGAAAACUUACAUGACCCUGACAAAUGACUCCGUGGCGAUCUUCACAUCCUCCUCCUCUGACAAUGUAUCAACUCUAGAGACGGGCAGCACGAUCAACAUAACAGCAGGAGGAAUGGGGUACAUAAGGCUUGAAUCUGACGGACACCUGAAGUUGUAUAAGCAUAAAGGAAUAGACGGAUGGGUGAUGGUGCAGGAUAUUCUGAAGGGGCAGGUAGAUGAUUGUGCUUACCCGACCGUCUGCGGUGAGUACGGCAUAUGCAACAAUGGGCAGUGUACAUGCCCGAUUGUCAACAGCUCUACAUACUUCAAGCAGAUUGAUGACCGCAGGAUCAACCUCGGAUGUGCACCGGUGACUCCAAUUUCUUGUGCGUCGAUGCAAGACCACCAGCUCCUUGCUCUAAGUAAUGCUUCUUACUUCAAUUAUGUAGAUUCAAGGGCCGCUUUGCCUCAGAUGAUUGAUGAAGAGAGUUGCAAGAAGGCCUGCUUGCAGAACUGCUCCUGCAAGGCUGCAUUCUUUCAGUACGGUGGUAAUGACACUUCUCAAGGCUCAUGUUACCUUCCAACACAAAUCUUUUCGUUGCAAGUAAACCAGUGGGAAGUAACUCAUUAUAGUUCUUCUGCAUACCUUAAGGUGCAGAUCACACAGCCACCCCCAAGUCCUAGUCCCUCGAAAUCGAAUGGUACAGCAAAUAGGUCGACACCCAAAGGAAGUACAAGUAUUACUGCAGGCGCAAUUGCUGGCUUCACAGUAGCAGGAGUCGUCUCUUUACUAUCUGUGAUCAUCAUUACAUUAGUGAUCCUUCGGAGGCGAUAUCAGCUUAGAGAUGAUGAGGACGAGUUUGGAGAAGUACCAGGUAUGACUACUAGGUACAAAUUUGAACAGUUGAAAGUAGCAACCGAACAAUUCAGCAAAUUGCUUGGGAAAGGAGGAUUUGGGUCUGUUUUUGAGGGGCAGGUAGGCGAACAGAAAGUUGCUGUAAAACAGCUGGAUCAAGCUGGUCAAGGAAAGAAGGAAUUCUUGGCAGAAGUUGAGACAAUUGGAAACAUUCAUCACAUAAAUCUGGUGAGAUUGAUCGGCUUCUGCGCGGAGAAAUCUCACAGACUCCUAGUGUAUGAAUAUAUGUCCAAAGGAUCAUUGGACCAGUGGAUCUAUUUCCAAGAUGCAAAUAGGCCUCUGGAUUGGCAUACACGAUGCAGGAUUAUCACUGAUAUUGCCAAGGGCCUAGCUUAUCUUCAUGAAGAGUGCAGGCAACGAAUUGCUCAUUUGGAUAUCAAACCACAAAAUAUCCUCUUAGAUGACAACUUCAAUGCAAAACUUUCUGAUUUUGGACUAUCUAAGAUGAUUGACAGGGAUAAGAGCCAAGUGAUUACAAGAAUGAGAGGCACACCUGGAUAUUUAGCUCCUGAGUGGUUGACAUCACAAAUCACUGAGAAAGCCGACAUAUACAGCUUUGGUGUAGUAGUCAUGGAAAUUAUCAGUGGGAGAAAGAAUCUUGAUUAUUCCCAACCCCAAGAAAGCAUUCAUCUCAUUAGCAUAUUGCAGGACAAGGUAAGAAAUGAUCAAUUGGAAGAUUUGAUUGGUAUGAAUGGCAAUGAAAUGCAAAUUCACAAAGAAGAAAUGAUCCAGAUGAUGAAGCUCGCCAUGUGGUGUUUGCAGAUUGAUUACAACAAGAGGCCUCAAAUGUCGGUUGUUGUCAAAGUACUGGAAGGUACAAUGAAUGUGGAAACUAAUAUAGAAUUCAACUUUGUAGCUACGGUUCCAGGCAACCUUGGCAAUGAUGGGAAGUUGGCUUCAUCUGCUCCACUUCUAGCCUCUCAUUUAUCAGGUCCUAGGUGAAAUGAACCUAUUCUGAGUAAAGAUCACGCAUAGAAUAUUUGUAUACCAAGAAUCAACCAUGUUACAAAAAAUUGUAUAUUCUGAUGUACGCAAAUAUUUCCCAGUAGUCUUCUCACAUGAAUAUCAAAAUACCAUUAAGUUUUUUUUAUAUGGACCAGAUGAAGAGCACAGUUCAAGUUUUUUGCGGUGCCAGUUAAUUUUUCUCUAUGGAUAGAAUAAGUAUCAAGUUUAUAUAUUCUACAAAUAAUGCUAGAAUUAAGUGUAAACACUGACAACAUAACUUUAUGUUAGAUCUUUGUUAGUGUUAGGCUUUUGUGUUCCUGCUUUUCAAGAAAGAGUGACGGUAAUUCUGAGCAUUAGUUGUGGUUAAUAACAAAAAAAAUUAACUAAACAAUUUCACAAAUUUGGAGAGUAUACUUGCAGUUGGUCUUAUAGCUACAGGCUUGUCCCGUGAUAUUUUUUAAAGUAAAGAAAUUGCAACAGAUACCUUGUACAAUGUGUGAGCAGUAGGCAUAUAUAACCAGGCAGAAAGGUAACACACAAGUGAAGUUGAAGUAGUAUUAUGUACCAGUAAUCAGUAGAUGGUUCCAUCUAUAGAUAAAAUGCCACUUGAACAGAGAAUUCUUGCUUAGAUAUACUUCCUGAGAAACCAUAUACAUUUUGACACCUCUGGCAUGCACUUAUAGUUUGAGAUGCCCUGUUGCUAGUUGUCUUCAUAUUGUGUCAUUUGUCUGGCAUCAAAAAUUGCAGCUUGAUUUCACUUCCCUUCCUGCAAAGCCAAUAGAACUAUACGAGGAGGCUGUUACUAGUUCUUUCCAUUCCUUGAUAUUGCUAGGAGCCAGGAGUUAAACCACAUUUAGCUUAUAUAAUUUGUUCUCUCUGAGAUGAUUCAUCUAGAAGCAUCUCUGAUAGCAACAAUCAGCGGAUCUCUCCAUAAUAGCGUAAGGAUGAAUUGAUCAAACCCAUGAAGAUGCCCAAGAUCAAGGCAAUUCACUGUUUCUAUCAGUCAAAGCACUAGUUACUGGCACGUUGCACCUCCAAAUCCACUGGAGGUUUCAAGAAUGUUCAUGGUGCUCUUGUUGCAAGAGAUACAAACCCUCUCAACAUUAACCAAUCACCAUAUUUCCAGCCAAAGACGACGAAGGAACAGGUUUAGAUAUAGCAAACCAAAGUGUCCCCUGGCUCUCCAUUUCCUCAGCCACUCAGUUUGCAUCCUGAAACUCAGAGCACACGACCGCAAUUCAUCACAUCAUCCUUGCUUGGACCUGAUCCUUUGCAUUCCACAAGUACCCCAGAUGCAGCAGAAGGCUGGAGAACUGGAGAUCGCUUCACUGCAGAAACAGCAUCAAGAUCGAGCACUCGUAUCCUAUAAGGAGCACGUUGGCUCUCUGUUUCGCCCACCACUGACAGGAGAGGCAGGACCGCAGGAGCAACUCCACGCAGACCACUGAACCCGCUGCGACAUCCUCAUCAUAAGCCACGCCCUCUUGUAGAUACUCAUCUUUCCUUAAGCCCUGCUCACUGGCCUCACUAGCACAUGAGACGGCGCCACAGCCGAGGCAACUGCCUCCCAGAGUGGAACUGCUCGACGCAGCAUUUCAUCGAACAGGUGGCCGGCGACCCCACGGCAACGGAAGCCCAACUCGUCAGGGGAAUCGAAGGCCUUGAUCACAGCAGCCUGACAGGCGUGAGUAGUUGAAGCGCACGCCAAGUGCAGCGUGCAGGGGAUAACAAGGGAUCGGACUAUCGGAGUAAGGGACCCCGGCAGUGCGCUGGCCGUGGCCGGCGAGAUCGCGGCCGCGCAGGGGCAGAGACAGCGUGGCUGCGUGAGUCGACUGAUGACUCUGACGUGCGGGCCAGCACAACGAAAACCGGCACCGACGACUUUCUCGCGAACGUUCAGCUGUGCAGGGAGAAGCGCUACAGGCUGAAAAUUCUCCUCUCAAAAAAGGGUGAAUUGACGGUUUUCUUUUGUUCAGGACUUCUGUAAUUUCGGUAGAUUGCACUCUUAGGGGUGUUUGGAUCUUUGCUAAAGUUUAGCCUGGAUCACAUCGGAUAUUUGAUGCUAAUUAGGCAGAUUAAAUAUAGAUUAAUGAUAAAAAUAAUUGUAUAAAUAAGGGUUAAUUCACGAGAUGAAUUCAUCAAACUUAAUUAGUUCACGAUUACCACAUGUGAUGUUACAGUAAACAUGUACUAAUCAUAGAUUAAUUAGGUUUAAUGGAUUCAUCUCGCGAAUUAGCCCUCAUUUAUGCAAUUAUUUUUUUCAUUAGCCUAUGUUUAAUCCUCCUAUUGGCAUCCAAAUAUUCGAUGUGACCCGAGCUAAACUUUAGCCAAGGAUCCAAACACCCCCUUAGUUUGUCUUAGACAUGAUCAUGGACCGCCUGACCCGACAAACCCGACCCGACCCACCUGGAAAAAAA